This 52945-nucleotide long non-coding RNA is filed under the name Brassica napus (rape). RNAcentral's name for it is "long non-coding RNA (BNAP_LNC022491)". The record is from RNAcentral. Lineage: Eukaryota; Viridiplantae; Streptophyta; Magnoliopsida; Brassicales; Brassicaceae.
UAGGAUUUAGGGUUUAGGGUUUAGGGUUUAGAGUUUAGGGUUUAAGGUUUAGAGUUUAGGGUUUAGGGUUUAGGGUUUAGGGUUUAGAGUUUAGGGUUUAGGGUUUAGAAUUUAGGGUUUAGGCUUUAGGGUUUAGGGUUUAGAGUUUUGGGUUUAGAGUUUAGAGUUUAGGGUUUAGGGUUUAGAGUUGAGAAAUGAGGUUUUGGAGAUAAGAUUUCAAAUUUUGAAAAAUAAAAAAAUUAAAAUUUUCAAAAGAUAAAAUGCUAUUUUGGUCAUUUUAGUUUUUAAGUGCUAUUUUUGUGAUAUAAACUUAGAAAUGUGCUAUUUUGGAGAUUUGUCCCUAACUAAUCAUAUGGAUUAUCUUUAUUUUCUCAACUAAAGUCGGCAUUAAAAUAUAUGUCAAAUGAAUGAUUAGAUGUUUGGUAUUUACUGAACUACUUGAGUUUCUUUAAAGUAGAAAAUAUUAUCUUCAACAAACCCUUUAAGACGCGUUAACGCCAUUCCCAUUUAUAUUUUUUACUAAUUACGGCUUGUGGUUAUGAAAUGUUCUGCAUUAUCAUCAUGACUACAACAAACAUAGAUCCAUAAAACAAUGCUAUAAACAUUAACAUCAUCGAUAAUUGUAGAAACCCACUAGUUCAUCAUUACAAUAAAAUAGUCAAAGCGUCUAUUGGAUUUUGCAAGGUAUAUUAAUUGUUCAUAUAUCCUCUCUAUUUUCUGAUCUCGAAUUUGUCUUUGCACCACGAGAAGCCAAUAUAUCCGCCGAUUUAGUUGAUUAAAUGGCCUCUUAAGUCUAUUGAAAUGAUUUGUGGUAAGUUCAGGUUUAAUGAAUGUCUUUUCGAUCAAAAUUUCAGAAUAAUUGAAUAAUGUUUACCUAGGGUAUCGACUGACUCAUCGAACUCAAUUGGAAACCUUCCAAACUAACAUUAAUUUGCUAUAUCAAGUUCAAAGGGUCUAUACUUUUCUAAGACAUAACUUAAAUUCAAACACUGAAAUCAAGAAACUAUUCAAGCUUGUUUAUGUAUGAUUUUAUUAUUAAACUAUAAUUCUAGUAUGUGAUUUAUUACGUACGUAAGAGGUCAUCAUAUGGUUUUGCUUAUAUUAGCUCGGUGUUUUGUAAAGUUUUUUUUUGUAAAAUUGUAAAGAUAUUUUUGUAUGAUGAUAUCAUUUCGCAAGUAUGAAAAAACGUGUGUGCAUAGAAACUGGAUAGAAUUCAAGAAGUAAAACUUAGAUGCAGAGGCAAUAAAACAUAAAUAUUUAAUGACACGAAAAAAAUAACAGGCUAAAUCAACUUUGUAGACGUCGAUCGAUUCAUCUUGUACGUGCAUCGAAUAUAUAUUAUAUAAAACAUAUAUAUUAACUUAAUAAAUGGAACAGACAUAUAAAUUGUUAAUUUCAGUGAUUUAAAAUUACAUUUAUAGAUCGAAAAGAACAAUUUAUUUAGUAUUUUUUUUUGUAAUUGAUAUCUAGUUUUGUUAUUUUCUGAUGCUUAUGGUUGUUUUACUCUACUGUUUUUACACUAUAGUGAUGGUAUCCCCCUAUCCAUUCUACAAAAUUUACACUAGUCCACAAGUUUUACACUGAUUUUGUUAUCCCAGGCAACGAUUUAGUUAUCCCAGGCAACGAUUUAGUUAGCUCUAUAGUAACACUCGAAGUUUUUGGAUCUAAGAAAUAUCUAAAGGAUCCUUUUUGGAAUGAUGGCAACUUUUAACAUAUUUUCAACGGUGAAGCGGUCCACACGCACAACUUCCUCCGGUGGAGCAACUACCAUAUGACAUGUCUCUUUUAGGAUAUGAUCGAAUAUUCAUAUUCAUAAUCUAUAUUGUUAUACAUAUACAUGAAUAUAACAGACCCAAAAAAUAUCUGAAAGCUCACUACCUAGAUUCAAACUAUUGGAUAUUAAUAGGGGUUCACAUAGUGUUUCUUACAACAUUCCUCCAGUUUGUUUCAAAAUAUCUAGAAAGUGGAUUACGUAUAUAUGAUGUGAAUGGAUCAAGUUGUGUAGUGGAGUGAACAGGAUGGAAAAUCCGGACUGAUACAUCUCAUCUAUGUAAUUUUUCUUCCAAAAAAAUGUCGAAUCGUAAAUAUAUAGCUUAUGUGCCGACAAAAAAGUAUAAGCUAUGUAGAAUUCAUAUAUGCAUAUUAACAAUACAUGAACAUUAAAUAGAAAAUGUAAUGCAUAUUUUAAAGUUUCGAUUUAGUCCAUAGGUUUCUAACAACAUUAUGUGAACCUUACCUUUUAUCACGUGCUGGACUCACUAGUCACUAGGGGUCACUACUAGUUCCACCCAGAUCCCCCAAUAUUACACAACAUUACAUAAUUAGAACUUUGAUUGGCUUAAAUGCAAUAGAUGUGAAUGCAUAUAUGAAAAUCGCCCUAUUGCAGUUUAAAGUUUUAUUGGAACUCUACUGUAAGAUGUAAUCGAAGUGUUAGUAGCACAUUGGUAAGUAUUGUGCCCUAGGUUCAAACUAUUUUUAGUACAGAAGAUUACAUUUAGAUUAAAAUAUUUUAAUGUUGUAGUAUGAAAAUAUAUAGUUUUCAUAUUGAAAAUUUCAAUGAAACAUGAAUAAUAAUAACAUAUUUGGAAUAAGUUACUUAUCAACAACUAAUUUUAAGUUUAUGAUAAAUCCAAAUUUAACAUGUUGACUCCAAAUCUAAAAAAGAUUUGAGGUCUAAUCUGGGAACUCAUGGUAUAUAAGAUUAGAGGUCUAAAACCCAAAUUUUUUCUAUUAACAAAAAAAGUUGUGUAACUAGAAACUUUUUUUAACUGAAAAAGUUUGGGAACUCAUGGUAUAUAAUAUUGGGAAUUUGGGUUUGAUAGCUACAAAACAAAACAUAAUUAAAUUAUAACCAAAGAAAAAAGUACUUCCAUCAUUUAUGUAAUAUAUACUAUAAUACUCUUAGUAACCGGUUAAUGAAAGAUGAAAAUAUCUCAUCUUCUUUUUCUUCGAUUAACAACUACCAUCAAUCUACUUCCAUCUCUACCACCUUGUCCUCCGACGCCGUUACAAUACGAUCAUCACUAAUUCUCCACUGUGUUUUGUAUUUAUAGAUUUUUUUUCUAUAAUCAGUAUCAUUUUUCAUAAAUUAUCACCUCAUUCAUAUUCACAUUUAUCACUGAACUACCAUCACCAUAGCCAUGAAAUCUACAGACGGCAUUAAGGUCGAGGCGCCCUCAUUUGUAUCGUAAGUUUUUGGUUAUACUAUACUAUUUGGACAAUAUGUACUAUAUUAUUUCCUUUGUUACUAUUUUAUUUCAUAUGCUUCAUAUUAUGUACUACAUGCAUAUUUUGAUAUUUGGGUUAGAAUUUAUAUUUUCUUUUAAAGUUUAGUGAUUAGUGUUUUGGGUUUAGUUUAUGGAAGGUUUGGAUACCUCAUUCAUGCAAUCAUAAGCAUUUCAAAAUUUGAAAAAUAUGUACUAUGCUAUUUCGUUUGUUACUAUUUUAUUUGAUAAUGCUUCAUAUUAUGUACUGUGUGCAUAUUUUGAUAUUAGGGCUAGGGUUUAUAUAGUGAUUAGUGUUUUGGGUUUAGUUUAUGAAAAUUUUAGAUUGACAGAGAAUAAACAUUACUUCCACUAUUAUUAAUUUCAUUAAUAUGAACUAUACCAUAUGAAAAAUGUUCUAUUCUAUUUACUCUGCUUAUCUUCUUCCAUAACAUUAUAUCUUUCUCCGAUCAUCACAAUCAUAUUAAUCUUUGUAUGAAAGAUGACUGUGUCUUUUGGAUUGACAACCUAUGUUUCAUCUUUAAUCACUCUUGCCGUAGUCAUCAUCUUCAUAGUCUCCGCCACCGCCGGUGCGAUAACCAAUAUCACCGUUCUGAUAACCACUACCGCCGCGACCAUACCGCAAUAAUCACCACAAAUAUUGAUUACAGUUUUUUUUUCUUUGACUGGCAACUGCCAACUGGUUCUAAAAAGGGACAAAACCGGGAAAAUAUAGCACAAAUGCUAUGAGAUCUAAUAACUUCAAAAUUAGUGACAUAUUCUUAAUUUGUUGGUGAAAUAUGACUAGUUCACAAAUAAGCCCUGUAAUAUUGGCACAUGGCAAAAAGAAAACUACCAAGUAUAUUUGGGUCAGCAUGUUAUCAUCUUAUACUAAUAAGCGCAAUUGUAAAAGGCCUUUGCACCAAGGAAAAUGUUUACAAAACCCACCAAAACAUUUAAUAUAAUUCGACACCGCCCACUUAUGUAUUUUCUUUUGUAAACACCUUUAAAGAUAAACAUGCAUGGAUUAUCCAUAACAAUAAAAAAAAAUCCCAAGUCGGGAAAAAAAAAAAUAUCCUGCCACCACAAGUUUUAUGAAAACGAAAUUUAUUUAAUUAAACCUACCAACACUAAAAACAAGUGUAAAAUAAACAAAUACAACAACCACUAAAAUCUCGCCACGUACAAAACCCACAGUUCGUAACAGAGUGGUGGUCUCUCUCUCUCUCUCGGUCUCGAUUUCUGAUUUCUCACUGUACGACCAAAACUAAACCACAGAGACACAUAAAAGAACAGGCAAACUAAUUGAUCCGCUGCUGAAGAUCUCGAAACCAUGUCUUGUUUGGGUAGGAUCUUGUCUGUUUCCUACCCACCUGAUCCUUCCGGUUCGCGUCUUUCAGUGUCAAAGCUGUCUUCUUCACCAGGGAGAAACCGAAGGCUGAGAUGGCGUUUCACGGCCUUGGACUCAGACUCUUCCUCCCUCGAUUCUGAUUCCUCCGACAAAUUCGCUGCCGGGUAUUCAAAUUAAGCUCUUUAAACCGAUGUUUUUGUUAUGCCCAUGAGAGUUGAACCCGUAAAGUUACAGACUUUGGAGUUUAAUCGUAUUUAAGUUUCUAAAUUUUGAUUAUUUUUGGUGCAGCUUUUGUAUCAUAGAAGGACCUGAAACAGUACAGGACUUUGCCAAAAUGCAAUUACAAGAGAUUCAAGACAACAUUAGAAGCCGUCGAAACAAGAUCUUCUUGCACAUGGAAGAGGUUUACUUUCUUAAAGUGGAAACCUUUUAGUUUCUAAAACUGUCUUCCUCCUUAGUUAACUAUCUGUUAAUACAGGUACGGAGGCUAAGAAUACAACAACGGAUUAGAAACACAGAGCUUGGAAUCAUAGACGAAGAGCAAGAACACGAACUACCUAACUUCCCCUCCUUCAUCCCAUUCUUACCUCCAUUGGUAAGUAUUUAAACACUUUCUUUAGAGGAUUUUGUGUGUUUUGAAUUGAUCAAUAAAUACACUUUCAUUUUGCUAGACUGCUGCCAAUUUGAGAGUCUAUUACGCAACUUGCUUCUCACUCAUUGCUGGGAUUAUCCUCUUCGGUGGCCUACUAGCUCCUACUGUAAGCCCUUUGCUUCAAGAUUGGCAUUUACUCCCUCCCUUUUGAAAAAAAUCCACGCUUUAGAGAAUUUUUUUUGUUUCAAAUAGAUAUAUCUUCAUUUUCAAAUGCAUUAUUUAAUGGUAAAUUAUAAACUUCAAAAAAUGAUAAUUGUGUUUAUUGAAAUUUAUUGGUUAAGUUGCGGAAAAUCGUUAAUAACAAAAAAAAAACAAUUCAUUAAUAAUCAGUAUUUAAUAUGUUUUUUGAAACCUUAGAGGGUGUAUGAGUAUUACUUUGCUUUAUGUAAUAAAGUUUUUGAUUUGUAACUUCUGCAGCUAGAGCUGAAGCUAGGUAUAGGGGGCACAUCAUAUAAAGAUUUCAUUCAAAGCCUUCAUCUACCUAUGCAAUUGAGGUUUAGUAUCUCUCUUUAUAUACAUUUGCAACUUUAUAGAAAGGAUGCUUAACUCUUGUGUGUUCACCAGUCAAGUAGACCCAAUAGUGGCGUCAUUCUCUGGAGGAGCUGUUGGUGUGAUCUCAGCUUUGAUGGUAGUUGAAGUUAACAACGUGAAGCAGCAAGAGCACAAGAGAUGCAAAUACUGUCUAGGAACUGGUAAUUAUGUUUCCUCUUCUUGUUCAUAAAGAGAUUUAAGUUGUUGGUUUUAAUAACUUUUCUUAUGUAACACACACAGGGUAUCUAGCAUGUGCCCGUUGCUCUAGCACAGGUUCUCUUAUUAUAUCUGAACCAGUCUCAGCUAUUGCUGGAGGGAACCAUUCUGUAUCAACAUCCAAAACCGAAAGAUGUUCAAACUGUUCUGGUGCUGGAAAGGUAUAAACCAUCAAAAACCAAAACCUAAAAGCCCAAAACCAAAAAUGUGGAUGUUGAAUUGUCUGUGUUUGUUGUUCAGGUGAUGUGUCCGACAUGUCUGUGCACAGGAGUGGCUAUGGCUAGCGAGCACGACCCUCGUAUUGAUCCCUUCCUUUGAUUCCUCUCCCCCCCCACAAAAUCUAUUUGUCAUUGUAACUAAAAAUGGUAUGUACUAAUGAAUAAUGAGAACUGCAUCCUUUCAUCUGUAUAUGUACACACACAAUGACACAAAUGAACUUAUUACAUAAUGUUAGAUUUUUCUUCGUCCUGUAACACUCCGAAAGCUCAACACUCUCCAGAAUUAGAGCCAGAAACGAAACACACUGUUUCUAGGCUAUAUGUGGCUUAGAGUUGAGUACACUACUUAGUAGGUCUGGGCGUUCGGACCCGUCGGUUUCGGUUCGGUUGAUUCGGAUUUUUGGUGUUAUGCUCAUAAGUCCCUUUCGGGUUUUAUUAAUCUUCGAGUCGGGUUUGGUUCGGUUUCCUUUCGGAAAUGUUUGAAAUCGUCCAAAAAUAUGUUUUUUAAACCUCAAAAAAUGAUAAAUAUUUUUUCAUAAUUAUUCACAAAUCUAAUUAUAAUUAGUUAAAAUAUUUAAAUUAACUAAAAAGUAUUCAAAAUAACAAAUAAAACAAACUACAAAAAUAUUUUGAAUACUCUAAAAUAUCUAAAUCACUUCAACAUAUAUAAAAACAUCAACACAUUUAACUAAUUUCGGAUAUCUUCGGAUCCUAGUUUGGAUUUUGGUUCGGUUCGUUUUAUAACCAAACCCCAAAAUACUAAGUUUAUAAGUCUCGUUCGGAUAUUUUUGUAUAACAGUUUGGAUCCGGUUUCGGUUUUUCCAGUUCGGGUUUAGGUAGGAUUGGAGUAAAAACGCCCAGGCCUACUAGUUAGUAGCUUAGUGAGUAAAAUUAGGUUCUAAGAUGAUAAUCGCUUCUAAGUAAUACUUUUCACUAAUUCUCAGCUUACUGAUGUUGACACUGUUACUUCUUCAGGCUCCAAAUCUAGUUUACUUCCAUGGAAACUUCAUUAAAACUCAUAUGAAAAAGUACAGUACAAUGGUUUGGUUCGGCAGGACAUAACCAAAUUAUACAAUUGAAAGAAACACAAGUCUGUAUCCAAAUACAGUUAGCCCAAGGAAGGAAGAACUGGAGAUUAUUAUUUGAAGGGACACAGUUAGUUAGUCCCUAGUGCCCAUUCUCGCAGCGGUUGUCUGAGCUCUCAAGUAUAUCUUGAAUGAACUUAAUGAACGAGCAGAGUCCACCAAAGAAGUUAUGAUCAAUCACACCGUUUCCAUCAAGAACAUGCGCAAAAUCCACCAGCUUCACUUGUGCCCUCCUCUCAUCAUCACCCCCUGAUUCAUUCUCAUAAACCAUCAAGAUCGAGCAAGAGUUGAAAUGGUAAAGCGUCUGCGUCUCAAACCACGCCUUAAGCUCCAGCAACUUCUCCAAGAUCCCAUUAGAACCUCCGUAAACUUCUGACGCAUAUGCACAGUCCGGUACCGAGUCAGCAGAGGGGUUUGACGAAACAAACUUCCUUAAAGCCAUUCUAGCACCAUCAACUUUAUACGCAAGAACAACCCUCUUGUCUGGUCUCCAGAACCUCGACUCCUGGCAGUCGAAAAUCUUCAAACCCGAAACCCUGAACCCCAAAUAAACCGUGGUGGUGGCACUAUCUUUCUUUAUACAUUUGUUAAAAUACUCUUCGGACACGUCAGGGUACCAAGUCCUAGACCCAAUCUUAACAUCCAUAACCGAAGGCUUCACGUAACCCGAAACAACGUCUUCAAGAACCAUGUGUGGAAGCUUGCCUGAUCCAUCAGAGGCUUCAGCCAGCUGAACGCCGUGGUACACAGGGAAGUAUCCACGGAUGUGGUCAGGAACGUUCUUGUUGGAGGAGAAGGACUCGUAGAACUUAGCCUCGUUUUCGCCGCGAGCAUCGCCUUGAAGCGGCUUGUAGAAUCGUCCUCGGUCGUCUACGAGGGGGCCUAGCUUCCCAUCUUUGGCGAUGUGGCCGGCUACUUGGUGUUCAGGGACCUUGAGCAUCUUUUCUGCAACGCGCACACACAGUGAUCUGAAAGAGUAACAAAAUCGGAUCAUUGAUGUUGUAAAGUUUCAUCCUUUAACCAAACGCAGAGUCCAGAUACGAUGUCGUUUUUAGAGAGAUUAUCAUAUAGUAUAACAGAGUUCCUCGAGUUCAUCGAAGAAGUAGAGAAAAUGAAACAAACCCAGAAUCAUACCAUCAAUGAUAAAUAAAUUGAAAUCUUUAAAAAGGUAAAAAAGCGUAUCGAAAAGUUAAAAACUUUCGAUUAAAAUAUGAAUUGAAUUUUAAAAAAAUGCGAUCUUUGUUAACUGAGUUGGAGCAAGACGAAGAACAUCCAUCAAAGAUUAAUCGAAGAGCAUUGAGGAAUAAAACAUUACCAAAGAAAUCUCCACGGAGAGAGAGAGAAUCAAACAAUGAGCAAAGACGGAACAACAAGUUGUGUGAUUGUUGUAACGAAGAAAAAAAUGCUAAGCUAUCUUGUCGGAAAGACGAAUAACUGGAUCAAUUCUCUUUAUGAAAUUGGUUUAAGUGCUAAACCGGACUCGUGAUAAGAAAAUUAAUCUAAACCGGGUUUUAGAGAACCGGUUUGGAUUCUUUUUUGGGUAAUUGUUGUAAUUGGUCGGAAUAUUAAACCGGAUUCGUGGUGAGAAAAUUAAUCUAAACCGGGUUAGAGAAAACCGGUUUGGUUUAUUCUUUUAAUUCGGAAACCGGUUUGAGUAAAUCAUCGGAUGAUCUUUUAAAAUUGGCCGUCAUCUCCUACCUCCGGCUGGCGAAAUUAGGGUUUUGGUAAUGGUUUCUAAUUCGAUUCAAUUCUUUGAUUAUCUUUUUAAUUCAAUCAUCCAUGGUUCUGGGUUUUUGAAAAAACCCUAACUUUCGAGGUCAUUGUGCAUAAAUGUAUCGUCUUUGUAUUCCAGAAUCUGUGGAAGCUUUGCUGAUAUCAAUCAAAUGGGUCGUUUCAAAAACGUAAGUGGAAACACAUCUUUGAUGAGUUUCUCUGUAUUCACUGUGUUUCUAACACUUUGUGAUGAAAUUAGAAUAAGAAGGGUAGGGUCAAUGUGAAGCCUAUUGCGAUGAAGAAGAACAAUCAAGCGAAUGUUGAUCACGUCACCGGUGACAAGAUCCCAAAAAGCUUCGUCUUUUCGAGGACGAAGCUUCCUGGCUCUGUCAAACAGCUUCAGAUGGAUUUGAGGAAGCUCAUGCUUCCCUACNNNNNNNNNNNNNNNNNNNNNNNNNNNNNNNNNNNNNNNNNNNNUCCCUACACUGCUCUCAGUCUUAAGGUCAAGGGUUUUAAUAUAUGUUUGGAGGGUUUGUGAUUUGAGUGACCAUUUACUGAUGCAAAAGCUGUUAACCUUUCACAGGAGAAGAAGAGGAACACUUUAAGAGACUUUUUGAAUGUAUCAGGACCAAUGGGUGUUACUCAUUUCCUCAUGCUAAAGAAAACAGCGUCUGCGUUGUCUCUGAGAGUAGCGAGAACCCCUCAGGGUCCUACUCUCACGUUCAAGAUUCAUCAGUACUCGUUAGCUUCGGAUAUAGCUCAGUCUCAGCUUCGGCCUAGAUGUCCUCCAGAUCUUUUCAAGAACCCCCCUUUGGUAAUCAAUCUCAGUAUCUCUUAGUUACUUCCGGUUUGGUUUUGCUAACAGUUGAGGGUGUUGUCUUUGUUUAGAUUGUACUUUCUGGAUUUGGCACUCAGGAGCUGCAUCUGAAGCUAGCAACGAUCAUGUUUCAGAACAUAUUCCCAGCUAUUGAUAUCAACACUGUAAGUUUGUUUGUGCUUUUUAUUAUUACUGGUUGUAAACUUGUUUUCAGCUAAUUUGAUUGGGAAAUAAUAUGUCUGUCAGGUCAAGCUCUCUACAUGUCAGAGAUUAGUACUCUUGAACUACAACAAAGACACAAAACUCAUUGAUUUUCGGCAUUAUUCCAUAAGGCUUCAGCCUGUAGGAGUGUCUCGUAGGCUCAGAAAGUUUGUGGAAAAGCAUGAGGUUCCUGAUCUUAGGAAUCUGCAGGAUGUUAGUGAUUUUGUCACCAAGUAAGGAUCUUAUUUGAUUCCAGUGUGAAAUGAUUAUUGUGAUUGUUUGGUGGAUUUUAUUUUCAGGGCUGGGUAUGGAUCAGAGAGCGAAGGAGAUGAAGAAGCGGCUACAGUGACACUAUCAUCUGAUCUAGGCAGAGUUAAUAGGGGGUCCACAAAGAGUGCAGUGAAACUGCAAGAGAUUGGACCGAGGAUGACUAUGCAGCUAGUUAAAGUGGAGGAAGGGUUGUGUUCAGGUGGAAUCAUAUUUGAUGAAAGCGGUAAAUGCUAUUCUUAUCCCCCACAUUGUGUGUUUUAAAAAAAAAAAAAAUCUUGUCUACCACUGGUUGCAGCAUCUUGAUAUUGUUUUAUAUGGGCUUGUUUUAGAAAAUGUGGAUGAAAGGACAGCCAAGAAGAAGCAAAAUGAAGAUGGCGAUGAAGAGGGUAGUGGAGAAGAAGGUGAAGAGGGUAGUGAAGAAGAUGGAGAAGACAUGGAUGAAGAUCUUGAAGAUUGAGACUUGAGAUAAAAGCAAGUUUUGUUCUGUGUGUUACACUAUAACUAUGUGGGUCUUUAGAUGAGACUUGAGAUAAAGCAAGUUUUGUUCUUUGAAUCUCUUAAGUUGACAUCUAUUGUCGGGCUAAAUAUACACGGUUAGACUCUACUUGGUCGUUUAAAACGUAAAUACGUUUGAAAUCAUUAAAAUGGUGACGUUUGAAUAAUUUAAAAUAAAUUUGAUUUAUGGUACCCUCAAAUGUUUAUAUAUGUAGCGAGUUAAUUGCACAACGUGUGUAAGCAGGUAAUGUACAGUUAGGAAACUAAAUAAGGGAUCAAACUUCCCUAGUUUCAUAUAUACUUGCUUUAAUGUGAAGUUAUCGUUUAUGCAAUUUUCUCCAAAAAUCAUAUAUUAAUUUUAGCUUGUUAUUUUUUUAGGAAAAAUGGCCAAUUCAUAUAUAAACUAAUUGUUCCGGUUUUUUUACACACGAAUUUUUAAAUAAUGCCAAAAACUACAUGAACAGCGGAAAAAAGCUUAUUUCCCUCUAUUUUUUUCACACAAAAACUUUUAAUCUAUACCAAAAUCCACAUGAACAAUUCUAUUUUUUAAAUUACAUACAUAAAUUAUCGAUUUUAGACUAAUUCUCCUGAAACAUGAUAAAAACAAAUGUCUAUUCAACUCGGAUGAAUCUACAAUAUCAAAUGUUUCCUCUCAAAUUAGUGGAAAGUAAACGAUAAAAAUAAGUUUUAUCUUAAUAUAUGCUACAAAGAAAAACACAAAUAAAAGCAAAAACAACAUAACCUUUCCUUUCAAACACCUUUCUUCUCAUUCUAAAACACUUUUUUUCUAAUUAUCACGUCUCGGUUGCCUUUUGCGGGGAGCAGCGGUUUCUUCCUUAUUCUCUGACUCAUCUCCACUCUUUGAGCUCUCUCCUACUUCUGGUUUCUUCUUCUCCACACUCGCCGCCGGUGCCGCCUGUAACAAACCAUUUUCAUUUCUUUAGCUUUUUCACUUAAUUCCAUAUUUCACAAAAUCCGCAAAACAAUAAAAUUACCUUUUUGCCACCGAAGAUAAGCUUGAUGAAGAGCGAGAAGAAUACAACAACAAUGGAGACUAGGACACCAAUUGUUAAGUUUGGUUGUUCCUCAGCUUUCUCAAUCAGUUCCUACAAAAACGACACCAUUUUCAAAAUCCCUUUAGGUCUGAGUCAUCAUCAUCAUAACAUGAUGCAUGGUUUAAAUGAGGGAAGAGAGCUUACCGUGAUCUUAGACUUGUAGGCACUUAGGAAAGAAAUGUCUGCAACCUUGUUCAACAGAUCGAACACAACCUUCUGCAACAUCAUUCACAUAUAUAAGUAUUUAUACAAGAAGCCAUAUGUAUAUAUUAAUAAAACUUUGAUUCUGUUGGAAGAUUAAUUUACCUGGUAGCUCUUGAGACCAUCUGCAGAUUCAGCAGCCUUCUCUUCCUCCUUUUGUUUCUCUUUCUCAACAUCGAACUUAGGCUUCCACGUUGUCUGUCUGUAACUCUCAGCGACCUUCUCGUCUUUCGCUAUCAAAAUGUUGUCAAACAAGAUACCGUCUUGCAUCGUCCAGAUCUCUAUACCGAUAGCUGCAAUGGGUUCGUAAUCAGGUCUGUCUAGCUCAAAGUAGUCAGGGUUAGGGAUGUCUCUGGGCUUCCAGAUUCCCUUGUAAGCAGGGUUAUCUAUCAUAGGUGCACUCCAUUUGCCCUUGUAAGCAGGGUUCUUCUUCAUCGGUCUCUUCCAUUCACCGCAUCCUGGUGCUGCUUCACAUUUGGGGUUGUUAAUCUUUGGUGCCUCCCACAUACCAUCUUCCUCAUCAUCCCAAUCUUCAGGUUUGGUUGCCUCUGGGUCGUCCACCUCCUCAGGCUCAUCGUCUAACCAUCCUUCGGGUUUCUCGGCUUCUUCAUCUUCUAUCUCCAUCGGUGCUUCCUCGUCCCAGUCGUCAGGCUUCACAGCGUUAGGGUCAGGGAUCUUGGCUCUCUCAUCCCAGUCUUCUGGUUUCUUGUCUUCAGGGUCGGGGAUGGUCUUGUCAGGGAUCAAAGCAGGCUCAAAGUCUUCCCCAGAGAGUAAGUUGGCCUUCUUCUUCUCCUCUCCAUCAACCAAAAUCCUAACCUCGUUGUCUGGCUUCAAGAUGGCGGUGUAGACAUGGGAAAGCUUGUCAUAAGGAACAGAGGGUGGGAACUUGAGAUGGUGCUCAACGUACUCGCCGCUCUUGGGGUUCUUGUGUUUCAAGAUGAAAUGAACUUUGUUCGUAGCUCCACACUUGUCGGGUCCAAACAUGAUAGAGUAAGGAGAUUCACUAUCGAAUCCCUCAGGUGUCCAUCCAGCUUCCUGAGGACGGAGGUACUUCAAGUAAGCACCACCGCACUCAAGCCCUUCCUGGAAACGAACCUCGUACUGAAGAACAAUGGUUCCGUCCUUGAGGUUUAGUGGCUCGUCGAGAACUUUCACUAUACCAUACUUACGAGCCUUCUCGCUUACGAGAAGUCCAUAAUCAUCAUGUCCCUCACUCUUCUCAUGCUUCCACACACCUGAAAACAAAUAAAAGUGGCCUUAACAAAGAAGCUUCAACGAAAAGUGGGACAAUCAUCAGCAACACCUCAGGUUCAACAACAAGAGCAAGAUUCAAGUGUUAAACACACACAAAAACAUCCAGAUUUUGCAUUAUAAGAUCAACCAUUCAACAUCAUAACGUGAGAUGACGAAUUACACUACUACUAAGUCAGAUUUGAUUCAACAUUCUCGAUUAGAUUCCCCUAUACGUUGAGUGCAACACAUUACAGCUCAGUUGAUUCAAACUUCACAUCAACAUUCUCGAUUUGAUUCCUCUAUACGUAUAGAUCAUUCAAAUUCCUAAUCAAGACGCAGAUCGAAACAGUGAGAGUGUAAAGAUAUACAACAAUACCUUCGUAAUCGCCAUUCUUCGAGACGAUCCAGCGACCAUCAAACGCCUCAUCGAACGAUUCAUACAACACCUGAACAAGAAAAAACGAAACUCAGAUCUAAAAUCUUCAGAUCUACUAAACAUUUCACCGAGAUUACCGUUUGAUCGUCGCAGUAGCAAAGCUUCUGGAGAGAAACGAAAGCUAAGAUAAGCAAAACGGCGGAGAAUAGCUGCCGGUCUCUCAUCAUCGGGAAUCUUAACGGCCGUUCACCGGAGAGUAGAUCGGAGAAAGAGCAGAGAGGAUGUAAUUUUCGAGAAAACUCUGAAUAAUAAUUAUAUAUUCAAUUCCCGUAGACCCGGUGGAGUACUGGGGUGUGUCAAUCCGUUGUCUCCACCAAUGAAACGGUUCGCCACGCGAUGGUGGCCAAUUAUAACGCGCCACGUCGAUUAAAAAUACGUGUGUAGUUUACACGUGCGCAUUACGGCUAGUUUAUGAUAGUUAUUGGGCUGGGCCUACUAAAGAACUUGAGAGUCUCUAAUGGAAAGUGAGUUUCUAACUCUAUAUGUACAUGCAAUUCAAAAUUUUAUAAUUGGUAUAUUAGAGUUAAUUAAAUUGGGCAUUUGUUUAGUAAUCUUUUUUUAACGUCUCAUUAAUUAUAUUAUUACAACGAUAAAAAAUAUUAUAUGCACUUUGCACGUGUGACUGCAUCAUUCUGAGCCGUCCUAUAAGAUCCAUGUUUGAUGAUACGCCAUGCACCACGCUAAAGACCUCUUGUAACCAUUUUUCUCCAGCAUAAUUUGCGUUUUCGUUUUAAACUCCAGACCUCAUAGUGUGGAUGCAUUAAUGAACUCUUAAUCAAACUACUGGACUGGAGGUUUAAUUUAGUUUUUGUUUACUUAUUAUUUAGGGCAUUACAAAACUUUGAAAAUUAUUUAAUCCACAAUUAGUGUUUCAAAAAAAAAGAAAUUUAAUCGACAAUUCUACAUUUCUACUACCACAAUUCUAUAUGCUUUAUAAGAAUUAACAUUUAUAUUUAUCACUUUGAAAAUUAUUUAAUCGAUAAUUCUACAUUUCUACUACCACUUGCCUGGUCGUUACGCUGCUCUUAUCAAUCUCGCCAUACAUUAAAUUUGUACGUCAAAUAAUUCACGAGAAUUGAGCUUGCCCACUUCAUUGUUUCGCCAUGCAUAAAACGUAACGUACAUCAUUCUCUCAACAUGCAGUUAUUUUAAUACUAAACGUCUACUAUAAUUAGUUUUCGUGAGGCUAAACUUCCGAAUAGAAAAUGGGUGUAUUGCCUGGAUUUGGUAGCUGGAUCAACCAGAACAGUCAACAGCCUCUUAAGGUCAGCUUCAUAUCCAUCAAUCAUAGGACCCGAGGAUGUCAAAAUAUUAAAUAUAUACCCGAGGAUGUCAAAAUAUUAAAUAUAUAUAUAUAUAUAGAAACACUACAUUUUAUUCUGUUUGUUGUACGUAGGCCGAGUCCAAGAGAUCUGAAAAUGUCGACUCAGAGGAAGACGAUUUUAAAUUUCCUGAUAAGAUCUACUAUGAUUUAAAGGAGGAGCAGAAGCAAAAUGAUCUUUGGCAUGAAGCAGAGAAGAAGCAUCCAUGGCAUAAUGCAUCUCCUAAGAUCAAGGUAUCAGAGAAAUAUCACCCCAGACAAAAUACAAUACCCAAAAAAAAAUUUUGCCUCGGUAGAAGCAAGAACAAAGAUCCUUUAAAAAGUUCUUAUGUUUUUGAUGUUUGAAGGUGACACAUGAAAAUGGUUUUUACCAUAUGAACAUAGAAUUGACCGUAGGGUUGGCUCCUGAAUUGCUCUACAGCAUUUUGAUUGAUCCAGGAAGUGGUACAUUUCGCGAUUUGCGCAAACGGCGCAACCUUAUGGUUUCUUUUCUAAUCAUAAAAUGGUUUCAUUGUGGUAUAUAUUACAUACAGCAAUAAUACCUCAGACUAUGAUUUUUGUUUUAUGAAGGAAAACAAAUCAAGAAAGGUUUUGUUUGAGAAUGGUCCGAGGCAAAUGACAAGGGUGGAGAAAUCUGUGGCUUGUAAUGUAUUUGGCGUGUAUAUACCUAUCUCGAUGAAUCUAAUCGUCGAUGAAAACAGAAAAGAUCUUAUGGUAAGAAGAGCUUCUCUCACAAGAAACAACCACUUUUGUUUUUGUAUUGGUGGAACCUAAUUAACUCAGGUAAUUUCUCUUUUGCGUAUUGUGGACAGACACAAUAUAAGAAAGAGAAAGUAAGAUUUAUGAAAGCAUUCGAGGGUAAUUAUAAAGUGGAGCCUAUCUUUGUAGAUAAAGAACGUUUGUGCAAAAAGAGGAUACCAAUGACUCGAGAAGAGUAUAAAAAAUGUAGUGGUGGCCAAGGAAAGGUUGCGUCAAAACUGACAAUAGACCAAUACUAUCAGCCAUAUUCUCCUUUCAAUCUACCGCCGCUUUCUUGGUUCAUCCGUGGGAUGACCGUCAAAACCUCCAAAUCUCUGCUUGCACAGGUUCAGGACACGUCUAUUGCAGUGCGAACGGCUACGCCAAUGCCAAAGGAGACAACAAGUAACAAAGAUGAAAAACACUAGAGCCUAAAUGAACAUACACAAAUACAUGUUUUAAAAAUUAAUAAUAUUCUCAAAAGUAAAAGAAUACACUCCAACAAACAAAAUAUGUUAAUUUGUUAAAUAAGAAAAUAUAUAAUAAUAAAAUCCAAAUUCAGUUUAAAAAUAUAAAUAUAUUUAGCGUGUAAAAAACACAUCAAAUAUUAUAUUAUACUAAAUUUUAAAAAUUAUUUAUCAGAAUUCGGAAGCAAACACUAACCUCAAUGAACAUGGCUUCUUAAUUACUUUUUCUCUUGAUUAAAAUACAUAUAAAAUGAAAAGUCUCCAUCCGGUUGUAAGUUAAUUUGUGUGGUCUGCUUGCAUUGUUCUUGGGUUGCUUAGUGUUUUUUUUUUAACGUUGGGUUGCUUAGUGUUUCAUCUGAGUUUUAUGUUCGUAAUGCUGUUUUCUUCUUGGAUUAAGAUCUAUUUUGCUUUGUGUCUUAUUAGAAGUCAGUGUAAGUUUGGUUGUUUCUCUUGUUCAGGGCUCUGUUUCUGGAGAAUGUAUGUAUUCUUCUUGUUUAGUUUCCGAGAUUGUCCUUUCAUCCUCCAGCUAUGUAUUCCUUCGUGUUUUAGUUUCAUGAAAAAUCUAGAUGACCAAAAAAAAAAUCACCAUCCAAUCAAAUUAAAAUAAUUUUGUAAAAUAUUACCUAUGAACAAUAAAUAAGCAAUUUUUAUUUAACAUAUAGUUGGAUAAUCCCUUAUAUACUAAAGCGCAAGUCGUCUAACAAAUCAAAUAUUGACAUAUGUAAAAGUUUUUUAAAAAAUUAAAAAAACAAUUGACAAGUGGAAAAGUUAAAAAGAAAAUACAAUUGAAUUUUUCUCUGCAGCUCCUAUCCAAUUCCUAUUUUUUCUCAAAUUGUUUUAAAAUAAACAAAUUCAAAAAAGAAAGCAUGAAGAAUAAAAAUGCAAAAGGCUAAACGUUCCAGCUUCCGUGUUAGUUUAAUUUUGUUUUUGUGUUAGUUUAAUUUUUUACUAGAAAAUUAGAAAUCAAAAAUAUUCUCUCAAUCCACAUCGAUGGACGGUUCUUCUCUACAUACCUCCACGAUCUAGCAAUUCCUGAAUAACUACCACCACUAUAUCAUUUAUAUUUGUGCAUGGUUAUUCUGUUAUUGAUUAUCGCUUAUGAAACAUGUUUUCUCUCCUUCUCUAAUCCAGUAAUCUACAAAUUAGAUUUGGACAUGCAACCCUUCUUCUCAAAGGAAAAUUCUUAAUUCAUAUCAUAAUUUUAUCUUAUUUUACGGACUCUCCAUUAAAUCUCUUUAGAUCUCACUCUUUUCUAUACUUCUACUAUAAUAUUUAUCUAUCAAGCCUCACUCACUCACAUGCAAUGUUUUCUUCGAAAAACUCAAGGUUAUACUUUCUCAUCAUGUACCCGAUUCUUUAAUUGUAAAUGUGCUAAUGAAGAGGAAACACCAGACUAGAAAAUUGAUCAUUCUUUUCUUUUGGUGCAGUGUAAGAACGAGAAUGUGCUUUAUAUGGUGAGUGGAAAUUCUCAGAAGCAUGUGCGGCUGAGCAGCAUGGGAUACUUUAAGCUGACAAAUUUAUAUUAUUUAGUCAUGUACUUUUCAGACGUUGGAUUGGUUCUAUAUUCAUUUUGAUUUUUGAGCCGGCUUCCGUGGAAAAUUCAGAUUUUUUUGGAAUGGCUUGAGUGAAACCUUGAGUGGCACAAGACAGAUUGAAAGAUAACCCCGCCUACGAAUGAAUAGGAGAUUGUAGCCCCCCUUCAUCUUAAGCGCUCUUCCUCAACUAUUUAACAUUCUGACUUUUGUAAACUUUGCACGUUGCAACAUAUUCAAUUGGGUUUUGUAUGACUUUCAGGUUACCAUGAUGUUGAAUCUAUUGGAAUUGAUGAAUUGACAGUUCCAUGUGUCAUACACUUUUACGUAUCAGUCAUCUGAACUUGCUUCUUUAAUUUCUUAUUUCCAACAAGAACAUGGAAUUUCUUAUCAGUGAAUUUUUGUUUGUUUAUGUCAAUAUCUUGCGCAAAUGUCUUAUUUCAAAGUUCUCUCUAAUGCUGGUCUUCAAAAAUCUCUAUUUAUUUUGUAGCAAUUGCAUUUUAGUAGAAAUUAUGUUACAUGACUAAUAAAUAAUGACUGCAGAUUUCAAAAGAUGUAGAAAUAGUAGAAAAUCUGUCCGUAGAAAAGACUCCUUUAUCUAAUACUCCAAUCAAUUUUUUCCGUACGUAGUACGAGUAGCAUAGUAGUUAUUAAUAAAUCGUUUACGGAAUUCAAAAGCUAGAUUGCAUGAUAUAAAUAUAUUAGUAAACAAACUAUUAGACUAAAAUGGAUUCCACAAUCUUGUUUUGUUUAUAUGAAAGGAAGAAGAGAUCUCCUAUAAUUUUUUAUGAAGUUAUAUAACAUUUUUACCUUAAUGGUACAAAACCUCAACGGGAAUGUUGAAAUUGCAUUAACCUCAAAGCUAUUGAGAAGCUGCGAAGUGAGAAGCUGCACGGAGCAAAAGAACCAAACAUCUAACUAUGUUUCCUAAUAUGUAUAUGGAGCUUUCGUUUUUUCAUAUCAAUUGUUUCUUGAUGCUGAAUCACCUUGAAAGGUCACGCGACUAGAUCGACUUCAUCACGUUGAGGGUAAACCACAUCGAGUCUCAUCAUACUCUUGUACUGGUCAGGCACCGGUGCACCACCUUGCACACACAACUCCACGACCGCAGGAGCUUUCCCAUAAAACCUCUGCAAGCUAUUGUCAAGAGCAGAAGAAUCUGGAUCCCGAACAUGCCACACAUAGUUUGGACCGACCACGUCGUCAAUAGUCGCUUCUUGCCACGCGUGCAUUCCGUCUCGCAUCUGAUGCUUUGUCGCUUUACACAUCUUCACUUUGUGUCCCUUGGGACCCACUUGAACCUCUGGACAGUAACCACAAGUCCACACUUUGUAUUUCUCCAUCAGUUCCUUGACCCCUGUGACCAUUUCAAACCAUGAAUCCAUUGUCUUAACGCUUAACUCCUUCAAGCUCUUCUUCUCUGUACUGUAAUGAUCAUCUUCUUGUAAAGGUGUAGCCGUGCUAACACUAGUAACUGCGGUUUCUGAGUUCCUGUUGUUGACUUCCUCGAAAUCUACGAUCCGUCCUUCGAUGCUGUAAACAGGUUUCGCUCUACGCUUUGCUGGGAACUUCUCGAGGUCUACGCCUGCCUGUAUGCAUAACUCAAGAACCGCAGAGAUUCUAGGGACGGUGAACCUCUCGUCGUGGAUGACUCUCGGUUUGACAGCACGGUCGUAGAGGUGGAAACAUUUUGGGAACAAGACAACGUCGCUAGCUCUUCCUUUGUUCCAUACAUGAGUGGCGCUUCUUGAACCGCCCCCGGGGCCUGUGCAAGUCCUGAUUCCAUGACCUUCCUUGCCAAUGUGAACCUCAGAGCAGAAUCUGAGAACAAAGAACCCUCUUAACUCCGGAAUUUAAACUCUAAAACUAGAUAAAACCGACUAAAGUCACUGUUUUUCACAAAAUAAAACUAAAGUCUGUGAUUUCAUUUUAAACAAACACAUUACUAUAACACAAAACAUGCAAAUGCAACAAAUGUAUUGAGGCUAACUCUGUUGUCUCAGCUCAAAAACAAGAAUACCACAUCACACCGAUACAAGAACUCGAUAUUACAAUCUCAUAUAGAUACAUAACCUAAAGAUCCAUUCAUGAUCUCGUGAAUCAGAGAGACUCAUCACGCCUCUCUCACAACUCUCAUCUUUCUUAUGCAUAUACUUACCAAGACCUCUAAUAGAAGACACUCUGCGUGAAACAGAGACUUCUCUGACUACGCCUCCCUCACAAGUCCCAACACUCAUCUCUCUCUCAUGCAUACUCAUCGAAACCUCUAACAGGAAACACUCUGAAUGAAAUAGAGACUCCUCUGUCUACUAUCUCACUACCUAUCAGCUAACUCAGUUGUUUCAGCUCAAGAACAACAACACCAAUAUCAAACUAUAUCUAGCUCAAAAAUGCUUAACUGCUUCACGGAUCAAAUUGAGCAACAAUCCAUAUGAUUCCAGAAUCUAAGCUAAAACGGAUUGUAUCUCUCGGAGAUGAUUCAUAUAUACCUGCAGCGAUGAACAGAGACAUGGUGAUGGAUGAUUGCAGAGAGCCCGGAGAGUAACGAGGCGCGGCAACGGUGAACUCUGCGAGCCACGUGGACGAGCUCCGGCACGAGCAAACCGUUAUCCGGCGGAUCUUCAAGUACUCGACAGGGCUGCGAUUUUCUGAGCUCUUUCUCCUCCUUGGCGCGACGAAUCAGCUCCUUCAUCGGAGUGGGAUAAGGCUUCCUCUCCGAUUUAUCCUUCCGAGGCUUGGGCACGUCGGCGUAGAGAGGAUCGUCAUCGGUGGCUUUUGAGCAGGGGAAGUCGAGAUUGAUUAGGGGUUUGAUGGAAGAAGAUGAGAAGCGCGUUUUGCUGAUUACGGAGAGUGAGAUUUGCGUGAUCCGCUUUCUUCUCUGCAUGUUUCUACUAUAGUUUUCUCAAACGGAUACAAAAUGCAUACAAGGUGUUCGAUGAAAUUCCCCCAAUGCUUGAUUUAGGAGCAUGAGCAUUUGGUCUUUUAUUUCUUUUGUUCUAGUUGUUCGGGUAUAUAGACAUUAAGAACUAGGCAUGCCGGGUUGGGAUGGUAGUGUUUCGGUUCGACUAAAAUUUUGCCGAAAUGAACCGUACAAAAAAAUUUGGUUCGGUUUAGUAUUCGGGUAGUUCAGUUUUUAAAAAAUUUAGCGAAACUAACUGAAGUUUUUUGGUUUCGAUUAUAUUUCGGUUAACAUUUUGAAUAAAAUUGGUUAAAUUCGGUUAGUUUAGUUAAUUUGAUUCAAAGUUUGGUUGCUUUGGUUAGUUCGGUUCAAAAUUUUAAGUAGUUUGGUUAGUUUGAUUCGGAAUUUUGGUCAGUUCGUUUUGAAAUUUGGUUAACAAAAUAUAGAAAACAUUUUUAUUAUUGUUCUAUUUUUGCGUUACAUAGUGAAAACGUGACAUUGGUCGAGAAUUGGAGAAAGAUUUGAUUAACCAGUUAAAUGUUCUAUCGGAGACCAAAUUAUAUUGGAUCUACUAUAUAUAUUCAAUAUCCCCAUCUUUUGUUGGGCUUUUGAGCCCGAACACUUACGGUCACGUAACAACCAUUUAAUCAGCAAAAUGUCUAUCAAGAUUGUUCAGAGUUUUAGAUAAUUGGCAAGGUUCGUUUUGCAUUUUCGGGACCGGGAGAUUCAUUCCACGUGAUUUACGAUUUUUCAGAAAAAGAGUUGAAAUGUUAUUAAAAUGUUAUUUUAAACGAACUGCUACGUUACUAUUUAUCGAAUUUUUUUUUGACAAGGAUAUCGAAGAGACAUUGAAUUAAAUAAUAUUGUGUGGGUCUGAAGAAAUUCAUAUGGAGAGGUUAUGAUGAAGAUCCCCACUAGAGUGUGAAGUUUCAAAUGAUGCAUGAAUGUUUACCCAGAUACAUAGUGUGUGAAAUGCAUGGUUUGACCACGUUUCUUUCUUAUUUUGUUUUUACGUAGCUAAACAAAAGUUAGAAAAGUCGACGAGUAUAGGUAAACAUAAACUCAUACUAAUAAUAACAACAAAUCUUUUGUUUAGAAUUAUAAAACGUGUGUUCUGGUUAAUUCCACAACAUGUGAAAUUAUGCUAAGGCCAGGAUUUCGAGUUUUUUUUUUUGCAUGAUAAGGAUUUCGAGUUUCAAAUUUAAACUUAAAUCAUUAAUGGUUUGUUUCACUCAGAUCAUUUGGAUUAAAUGACACCUGGAACGUCUUUGAUCAUUAAAAUGGUAAAUACAGUAUAGUGUUAAUUAAUCAUGGACAAAGCGAUACGCUAUCGAUGAAACUUGCAUUCUAAAUCUUUAUAUAUGACUAGUAUUGAUCCCAUGCCUAGCAUGGGAGUACUUGUUUUUUUUUUUUUUUGGAUAAAAUGUGAAUAUUAUACCAAAAAUUGGAACAAGAGUUGAUUUACAAGAGCUUUAACAGUUAGAAGUUACAUAUGGCUCAAAAAAAAUAAAAAAAAACCAAGAUAGAACUAUGAAGCUUAUGAAUCGGGUGAUCUAGGUGAACCUAAACCAUUGAGACAACAAUCCUUGGCAACGCUUAUGGGGUAAGCGAGCCAGGAGGAUGUCUCUGAUGGCCCUGUCGACCUUACUAAACAGGGUAGAGGUCGAAUCAUGGGGGCCUUAGUGUAGUCUGUUGUUCCUUUCUCUCCACAGGUGGAAGACAACCAGCUGAGCAGUGAGUUUCUUUAGCGUUGCUGAGAGGCCUGGAGUAACCGUGAGCAUCCAGUUGAUAAGAGAAGGCCAGGUGUCAAGACAGAGGGCCUGUUGUCCAAGGCGAGCCAGAACAAUGUCCCAGAGCUACAGCGCAGGAAGACGUGGUCCCUAGUUUCCUGUCCAAGUCCACACAAACAGCAUGUAGCAUAAUCACACACACCCCAGGUUACUAACCGUUCUCUUACCGGGAGUCGAUUUAGGUUUGCCACCCAAAAGUGAAAAACGUGUUUGGGCACUGCAUGUUUGAACCAAACGGCCUUCUCCCAAUAAACCUGAGGCGCUGAGAGUCUGAUAGAUUCCCAUGUUUUGGUGAUAGAGAAGACAUGGGCUCUGUGACUAGAUGGUCCCCAGCAAUAAGAGUCUGCACUGUCUUCAUUGGUAGGUGGAUCGAUCUCCAGCAAAGUUGCUAUCAAGGAAGCAAGGGAUGGUGUUCUACAACAGGGCGAUGGAGUGAUCCAAACCCCGCGUCUAACACCUUCGCUUACAGUGACUGUGAUAGGAAUUCCAAGCCAACGGGACGAUGGAGUGAUCCAGUACUUGUUUGCUUACAAAUAAAACUUUUUUUUUUUAAAGCCAAACUUCAGUUAUAUACAUUUUAAUCAUAUAUAACUAAACUUACAUGUAUAAUUUAGCUUGAUUUAUCUGGAGAUUUGUAUACAUACUAACACAGAUAAUUAAUUAAACAUAAACAUAUAAGAAAAGAUAAAUUAGAUUCGGUUAAAAAAAAUUUACAUCGAUCUUAAAUAGCUUGUUGAAUAUAAUUAUUACUUUGAAGCUUUUAUGUUUUACCUAUUGGUGUAUUUUUUUUAAUACUUUUCAUAAUUUUUAAUAUGCAAGUUAUGGUUCUUUAGCCUUUACAAAAAUAAUAUUACAAACCCAAUGCAAACAGUAAACUUGGUGGAAGCGUAUUUACCUUAACCAAAGCUUUUCUUCUGAUUCUACCAUGUUUGUUUUCUAUCUUCCUUAUUUUUUGUUGUUGUCCGCAUCUCUUUGUUUUGAUCAGAUCUCCAGCAAUGCAAAUCUACCAUAUCUGUUAUUUCUCAAACCUUCUAAGCCAUAAACCUGUUUUCAUGAAGCUAUGUAGUGCUUACCUGUUUUGAUGACUAUGUAGUGCUUCACAUAAACCAACCAAACUGCACAAAAGAGGGGAAAUAUGGGUGGAUGGCAUCUGUUUAUUUAGAUAUCAAACUCAGCACUGACUUUUUUAUUCUGUUUUGAUCGAUUGAGAGUUUUUCAGAUGUUUGUUUCAAGAUCUCAUAAAUAUAGAAGUAUAGAAGAAUAGAUUAUGGACAGAAAAAAAAUUGUGGGCUUGUGGAAUAUAUCUAGAAACCGUUAAAUGGUUAUUUUUUAAAAAUAUUAUCUAUUUUAAUUAACUUUUUAGUUUUGUAAAUACUUAUGAUGUGGCAGGAUUUAUGAUUGUGAUUUGUUUUUUCUUUUUAAUUUUUUUUACUUUUUAUUUUGUAAAUUUUUUUCUACAUGUUACUAUUUGAUUCGCUAAACGACUUGCGCGUUACUGUAUAAAUGAUAAAGUCGAUAAAGUAAUCAUAGUUGUUGUAUAGUCUAGUUUGGAGUAUAAUUGUAUUUUAAUUGUAACUCGAGUUCAAGUUUAUGGCGACUAUUUAAAUAACAAUAAGCCGACAACAUUGAAGCACUGUCGGUGGGGAAGAGUCCGUAUUUACACUAUGAUUGUUACAGAUAGUUAAGAAAAUUAUUCUUGUCGUAUUUUUUUAUAAUUUGACCCGAUCAAAUACAUAUGAUUGAUAUAUUUAAUCAAAAGGCUGAUGGAUGACGACGGUUAGAGAUAAUGAAAUAAGUUAUUACUAAUUGACUUGUUAGUGUGGAAGUUAUCUUCUCUGGUGGAGCCAUCGGAUUAAUUUAACACUGAAGAUAAUCUAUAUUUUAAUUUAUCCUAUGAUUUUAAGUCCAUUUGACGUACAUGGUCGGCUAAAGUUAUGUGUUUUGUCUGUCUUUAUGUGGAAAUUUCCGAGUCUUUCGAAAAAAAAACAUGUAUAAUGGUAUUGGUAUUAUGUUUGAAUCGCAUAAUUCUAUGUUUUAUCUGCGGUCAAGAUCACAAAUUAAGUUUACAAUGUAUUUAUACUAACUUAUAAACAAAAGGGUAAAAUGGUAAAAUGAAUGUUUCGGACCACGGCCGCGACCACCCGUUGCAUGCGAUCAAAGCCUACGAAAUCAGCCCACAAGCCGCGACCUCCACAUGUCGCGAUCAUCACUCGCAAAACGCCCUGUCGUUUUCGUCGACGUCUCGCCACGACCAUUCCCUGCCCGUGAACACUGCCUGGUGACAAGUAUUAAAUAAAUUAACAAAAAUAACACUAUGCUUUUACAUUGACUACAAUCAAAAGAUAGCACUAUACUUUAUUUCCUUAACAUUCUAGAAAAUCAUUUUACAUAAACAAGUAAACUAACGGCAAUCCGUUGCAAACGAUAAUACAUGUGAUUAAAGAUGCAGGUAGGUAGGGUGCUUUAUAUGGCUGGACCGUUUUAAAGUCAGCGUUACGUUUUUUCUUCCAGCUUUAAUAUAUGAUACUCACUUUUUCUUCGAUAAAGAUAAAAAUGACAUUAACAAAAAUUAAAACACAAUAAUUACAAUUAGUCGAAGAAGGUAAUAAUAUAGUAGAGGAUAAUCCUCUAAUAUAAUAUAAGAGAAACGUUAAAUAUGACGUCGUCAUCUGCAGUAAGGCCUUGACCCUCGCCUAAACGACUCUCACGCAAAGAUGAACUGAACUCAACAGGGGGCAAGUUCAAAAAAGGAAGAAAAAACAAGGAAAACGAGUAAUUCUGUCUGGCCGACCUGUGAGAACCACUUGCGUUUGAAAGGGGUCUGCUCUCACGACGUGGCGUAUGAUCGAUAGUGUAACAGCCCGAUCCCCCGGCGUCCGACCGGGGUUAUCGAAGGGGCGUUAUGGACACGUGUCUACUCAUUUAGACAACCCUACGUGUCCCGUUACUGAUCCCGAGAGACGAGCGCAUAACCUUCUUUGAAAUACCGUCACACCCACAUCCAUAUACUUCUACUUACAGUCCUGUGCACAGGGAAAAAAUGGGAAUGGAGGGGUGAGCAACAAGUUACUCAGUGAAGUGGUUCUAGACCAGCCUGCCCGCAUGACACUCUAUACUACUCUAUGCGGGAACUAGGGCUGACUAGCCACUACAAUCAGUUAAUGCAUUUUAUCAUUUCCUAACGUCAUCUAUGAUUUUCCACAUUCACUUCCAUUCAUUUCUAACAACCUAGUGAUCAAUCAAUACAAUGAUCUCACUCAUUGCCACACACGUCAAACCCUAGACUUAACCGACUCAUCUUACCAGUCCGACUCGAUCCUAUGACACCUUUAACUCCCUGUUACCCAACCAUGAGCUAAAAACCCUACAAUGCACAUCCUUUUCAUCUUUUCGUCCUUUUCAACAGUGGGUAGCCCCAACUAGGCUUCUACCCCAUAUUCUUGUGGAUUGGCCACAUCUCCUAUGGGUGCUUCCAUAUUCUUGUGGAUUGGCCACAUCUCCUAUGGAUACCUAGCGUGGACUACUACCCCACAUACUUUCCUUAGACCCUCUAUAUGCUUUCCCACCAAUGCUUAACCUUAACAUCAUUCUCUCAUACUUUUUCUUAUCCUUUCACUUCCUUAUCAUUUUCACUUAUCCCUUCCCAUUCUCAUUUACCUUCCUUAUUCAUUCAUACUUGUACUUGGACUCAAUUCACUAGACGCCACCCGUUAUCGGUGCCACACACAAUACACAUCGCAUUCAAGUUCUCCUUCAAUAACUUUUAUAAUCAUUACUCAUCUAUCGUUCUAGCAUUUAUUUCUCUCUAGCAUCCUAACUUCAAUCACAACAACACAUGGGACAACACAUCCAGACAUACAAGAAUCAACUACCAAUCAAUCAUCACCACAACCAUUCAAUUCAGUUCAUCGAGUCCCAUUUAUCAGUAUGAGGGUUCUUAUGCAUCAUGAUCCAUUCAUCUAUCAUCCUAGCAAUACCAUGUCCUAUCAACCUAACUCCCAAUCAGGGUCUAAUCAAACCUAACUCCAACAUAAAGGAGUAUACAGAAUCAUGAAAGAAGGUUGGGUUCGAGACACUCCACCUUAGUCUAGAUCUGGAUCUGGAUCUGGAAACAAGAAUUUAAGAAGAUGGAGAUCUGGUCACCACCACCACUUCACGGCGCCGGCGAGAGGGAGAGAGAGAGAGAGCGUGCGACGGCGAGGAGAGAGAGAGGGUGACGGCGAGGAGAGAGAGAGAGAGAGCGACGCGCGGGAGAGAGAGAAGAGGGAGAGGCGGCGCAGGAGAGAAGGAGAGAGAGCUCGACGGCUAGGGUUUUUGGCCUCCGGGAAUUCUCUGCAGAGCUUCGCUUCAGAUUUGUGAUGAGGCAAAAAGGGAGGCUGCAUCUCUUUUUAUAGGAAAGGGGAAGGGAAGCCCUAGGUUUUUGCCAAAUAGGCCGUAGAGAAGCCCAUAUUCUUUGGGAAAUUUUAUGGGACAGGAACCGGGCCGUUACAAUCCUCCCCCAUUAAUCGGAAUUCGUCCCCGAAUUCCAAAGCCCACAUCUUUCAGACCAAUCGUUCGUUACCGAAAUGAAUUCACACAUUCACACAACAAUCAAGGGAGGCAUACAAAGCAUGAUAACUCUACUGGAAUCUUCAAAACCAACGAAUGAAUGUCAUAAAUAAAAGGAGUAGGACUACAAUAGUUUGUAAGAGAAAACUCAGCACAUCUGCACAAAACACAGAAUGCCGUAACGAAUGGAAAGAACACAAAUUCCAAUAACCAAUAAAUGAAAUAAAACCAAUAGCGAAACACGUGUCCUACUCCUACGAAUCGUCCCUAGGAUCUCGUCUAGCCACAUUGACAUGGCGAGGGGCAGCGGGUCUCGGAUCCAAGAUCUUCAUCGCCCUCUGCGACGCGGUCAUACUCGGCCUCCGCCUCACUUUCCGCCAACCGCUCCUCCGCGUGCAGUGCUUGGUUGGCCAUCCUUCUCACCAGUGCAAAUUCCAGAGGCUCCAGAACUCCAACGAGUUCUUCACGAAUAUCUCCACGUAGUCCAGCCCUAAACAGAUGACACCACUCCUCGGCUGGCUUUGGUUGACACCUCUUGGCCGUAUCCAAGAACUCCUCCAGGUAAUCUCUCACCUUGCGUGGCUUCUGAACCAUCUGGACCAGUACGUCACAAUCACAUGUCACUGUAGGAGGUUUUCGCGGACGCCCCCGCUUUCCCUUAGCGAGUUCCCCGACCGGCACCUCAUGGCCAUCGACGCCCCUACCCGGGUUUCCUCCUUCUAUGCUCGAGAGAGCGGCCACAUUGGUUGCAAUCUUCUCUUCUGCCUCCAUGGCGAAGCCUGCCAUCCGCCUCACUAGCGCGAACUCCAGGGGCUCCAAAACACCCCUCAACUGCGCCUGGAGUUCCUUACGAAGCCCGUUCUUAUACCAUACGCACCACAUCUCUGCAUUCUUUGGUUUGCACAGCUUGGCUUGGUUGAUGAAGUCCUCGGUGUAUCCAGCGACUGAUCGGUCCUCCUGAGCAUUCUUGAUCAGCACUCCACACUGGCACUUCCCGGUGAACACCCUUGGGGGUCCCCCCGCUGCACUUGGCGGCUUGCAUGGACGGCCACGCUUCCUCGGGGGCCCCUCUUCGGUUGCAAGCUGGAACCUCGCAUCGCCCUGCAGUAGACGUUCCUCCAUAGCCAUCCUCUGGAAAUGUGGCAUCAACACCUUAUGCCUCACAGUCUGCUCGUGCGGGUACCUGAAUGGAAACUCCAUGUACUGCUCUUCAGGAUCCGGAAACAUGGGUAGCACCAAGUUACCCUCCAUGUCAUAGUGACGCCUUUGGGCAUACUCCCUGGUGUUCCUCUGUCCGUAGUGCAUACGCGGCAUCCUCCACUCGUAAUGGUCAAGCGAAAACAUCCUGCAAUAAAAUUUCAAUCAGAACCAUAAUAGAAGUAUGGAUAUAGUGGGAUUUUCAAAUAAUCUUUCACAAUCCGAAAACACUUAGUAAUAACGAAAUAAUAAUUUUUUUUUUUUUUUUUAAAACGUCGGAAAUGCCGAUCCCUUAGGACAGAACUAAGGGAUCUUAACCCGCUCUUAUACCAAUUGUAACAGCCCGAUCCCCCGGCGUCCGACCGGGGUUAUCGAAGGGGCGUUAUGGACACGUGUCUACUCAUUUAGACAACCCUACGUGUCCCGUUACUGAUCCCGAGAGACGAGCGCAUAACCUUCUUUGAAAUACCGUCACACCCACAUCCAUAUACUUCUACUUACAGUCCUGUGCACAGGGAAAAAAUGGGAAUGGAGGGGUGAGCAACAAGUUACUCAGUGAAGUGGUUCUAGACCAGCCUGCCCGCAUGACACUCUAUACUACUCUAUGCGGGAACUAGGGCUGACUAGCCACUACAAUCAGUUAAUGCAUUUUAUCAUUUCCUAACGUCAUCUAUGAUUUUCCACAUUCACUUCCAUUCAUUUCUAACAACCUAGUGAUCAAUCAAUACAAUGAUCUCACUCAUUGCCACACACGUCAAACCCUAGACUUAACCGACUCAUCUUACCAGUCCGACUCGAUCCUAUGACACCUUUAACUCCCUGUUACCCAACCAUGAGCUAAAAACCCUACAAUGCACAUCCUUUUCAUCUUUUCGUCCUUUUCAACAGUGGGUAGCCCCAACUAGGCUUCUACCCCAUAUUCUUGUGGAUUGGCCACAUCUCCUAUGGGUGCUUCCAUAUUCUUGUGGAUUGGCCACAUCUCCUAUGGAUACCUAGCGUGGACUACUACCCCACAUACUUUCCUUAGACCCUCUAUAUGCUUUCCCACCAAUGCUUAACCUUAACAUCAUUCUCUCAUACUUUUUCUUAUCCUUUCACUUCCUUAUCAUUUUCACUUAUCCCUUCCCAUUCUCAUUUACCUUCCUUAUUCAUUCAUACUUGUACUUGGACUCAAUUCACUAGACGCCACCCGUUAUCGGUGCCACACACAAUACACAUCGCAUUCAAGUUCUCCUUCAAUAACUUUUAUAAUCAUUACUCAUCUAUCGUUCUAGCAUUUAUUUCUCUCUAGCAUCCUAACUUCAAUCACAACAACACAUGGGACAACACAUCCAGACAUACAAGAAUCAACUACCAAUCAAUCAUCACCACAACCAUUCAAUUCAGUUCAUCGAGUCCCAUUUAUCAGUAUGAGGGUUCUUAUGCAUCAUGAUCCAUUCAUCUAUCAUCCUAGCAAUACCAUGUCCUAUCAACCUAACUCCCAAUCAGGGUCUAAUCAAACCUAACUCCAACAUAAAGGAGUAUACAGAAUCAUGAAAGAAGGUUGGGUUCGAGACACUCCACCUUAGUCUAGAUCUGGAUCUGGAUCUGGAAACAAGAAUUUAAGAAGAUGGAGAUCUGGUCACCACCACCACUUCACGGCGCCGGCGAGAGGGAGAGAGAGAGAGAGCGUGCGACGGCGAGGAGAGAGAGAGGGUGACGGCGAGGAGAGAGAGAGAGAGCGACGCGCGGGAGAGAGAGAGAAGAGAGAGAGGCGGCGCAGGAGAGAAGGAGAGAGAGCUCGACGGCUAGGGUUUUCGGCCUCCUGGAAUUCUCUGCAGAGCUUCGCUUCAGAUUUGUGAUGAGGCAAAAAGGGAGGCUGCAUCUCUUUUUAUAGGAAGGGGGAAGGGAAGCCCUAGGUUUUUGCCAAAUGAGCCGUAGAGAAGCCCAUAUUCUUUGGGAAAUUUUAUGGGAAACCGGGCCGUUACAGAUAGUGUAAUACCCCGAUCCAUCGAUGUCAGUGGAUUCUAAUAGCAUCUCCAACCUUACUGCAAAAUUUACUACAAAAUAGAGUGAAUUAUGCAGUUGUGAACAAAUAAAAAAUUUAUUACUCCAUAUAUGCAGAAUGCUUUUUUUUUGUUCACAACUGCAUAAUCCACUCAAUUUUGCAGUAAAUUUUGCGGACGGUUGAAAGUUGAAACAUUAAUUUCGAAAAAUUCUAAAGAUUUGUUUACUAUAUUUUCACCCAUGUCAUAUCUUUCAAUUUUGUUUUCUUUUUUUUUUUUUGAAAAAAGGUUUUCAAUUUAAAUGCUAGAAAGAUACAGAGAUAAGGUUUUAGGGACCUUAAGAGUUCAAAGAUAAAACAACAUGCAACGGUUUUAAAGUCAAGAGAGACGCGAAAGCAACAUAGUAUGAUGAAGGCAACACUUAACAAGAUUUUGUUGUGAACUCAGUGAUGAGGACCUCUUCCUCGGCCUCUUUUUCCUUUCCCUGUAACAGUAAACCAUUCCAUCUCCUUAAGCCUUUGAGAUGGCUUUAAUGGCCUACCGCCUCGUGACCUUAGUGUUGAUUCAUCAUCUACAAACGGGUCACGAGGAUGUGUAGGGGAAGUAUCAUGAGAGGCAAAAGUAAAUGGUAAUGGAGAAUUUGAAAAGACAAGUUCCUUGGCUGGUGGGACACUCGAUGGUUCACUGGCAUCAGCACUAUCCAAUACCGCAAAUAAGUUGUCAUGAACAAAUGGUACAGAAGACGGAGAGGAGUUAGAGUUAUCAACCACAAUAUCAACAUUCCCAACAAACUUCCCUGAAGGAGCCUCUGGAGUUGGUGGUACAGAUUGUGUUGAGGAGUCAACAGGUUCUGCGACAUCUAAUUGUUUGCAGGUUUCGUCAUUAGGAGAGACGGAGACAUCUAAUUUUGUUUUCAAUGGUGUGAUAUCGUAGAUCAUUUUUCAAUAAAUUAUUUAAUAUUUCAGUAUUUCAACUCAAAUAUGAAUCUUUACAAUUAUAUGCAUAAGUGACUAAAAAUAAUCAUAUUUUGAUGAUAUAUUUAAUUUAAUCUUCUAAAUUUUCUAACAUACCCUACCCAUCCGAUUUAAAUCAACGUGAGAUUAAAUAGAUGGCUCGAAUCUGCCAAUCAGAUUUUGAGUAUUUUUGUAACCUAUGACUAUGACCAUUACUGAGUUAUCUACCUUAAUUAAAGUAAAUUGAAUAUGCUUAGAGUUCGGAAUUCGUACCAUCCGUGUGACACGCGUUGAAGACGAGAAAGAGCGAGAUGAAGAUGAAAAAGAUCAUAUUUUUCGCGAAUUGAAAAACAAAAAUCCUAAGUUGUUAAGUUUUACAUCUUUUAAUGUUUCCUGAUUAAAUUUUAUUUAAAUCAGAACACUUAAGAGCUGAAAUGAUUUUUAUAUGUUCCAAUCAAAAUUAAAAAAAAAACGUUCCAUUUUCAAGACUGUUAAUUAAAAAAAUAAUUUAUAAAUUAGUUAAUCAACGUAUAUUAAUACUUUGGAAUUAGCAGAGAAAGUUAGGGACGGUCCGUAGGUUAGGGUUCAAAGAGGGGAGAGAUCAGGAGAGAGGAAGCAUGAGAGAGUGACCCAUUAUUGAUUUUUUGCUCCUUAAUCUGGCAACACGUAUAGGUCCCAUGUGUAACUUCGCAUUAUUUAAAUAAAUAAAUAAAUACGCGCAACGAAACACAGCCUACCAUUAAUUAAGUUAUCUUGUAUUACAAAAUUAUAUGCUCCCCUCCCCUUUACUAUGCAAAUUCAACAACCACUCUGUUUGUUUUAAAACUAAUCAAGAAACAUUUACACUAAGUCACAUUUGCACUUAUUAAUAUCACUAUAGUUCAUUUAUACUACACAAACACUUUCUUUUAACUUUUUUUUUUUUUUCAUUAGAUUUAGUAACUAGAACGGAACCAUAUUAUAAUUAGUAGGCCCCUUCUUUGUUCUCUUCUUCUCUUAAAAAACAAAUCUAGAUGUGGUCUCUAUCUCUUUUUUUCCUUGUUAUAUUUUUCUCUACCGUCUCUGCGUAAAAUUAUCUGUGUCUCCUUUCUCACACACGCAACUUCCUUACCUCUCCCCUCCUUAUUACAGAUUUAUUCAUAUUCAGAUCCUAACACAGAUCCUAACAGCUCAACCAACAAAGCUCCAUUAAACCCAGCAAAGAUGCUCUCUUCCUAUUUGCAUCUGUCGCCGGCCUAAAAAUUAUGUAUUGCUCUUAAAAUCGACUGUGGAUUUCAUCUUCAAAUGUUUGGAUCUAGAUCGUUGCAACAACAAUCUGGUUCCUUUUUUACCCAUCUCGUUUUAUUUUGUUCCUGAGUUAGUUUCAACUUCAUUUUGAUACUGAUUUUGAGAUAUAUCAUGGGUUUGCAUCACCAAAACUCUUGUUUCUUGGUUCUAAAACUUGGCUUGGUCGUAUCUUGCAGCAAAGCUAUCGUCUUGUUUGAGGGAUUAUGACCAACUGUUCUAAAACUUUGCUCGGUAGGUAUAUGAGGUUGGACUUUCUAUUUGUUCCAUUGAUCCUUCUCAUAAGUUCAUUUGGUCUAAUGAAUAUGGAGUUUGGGUUGAUGAGUUUGAAGCCAAGGAUGCAAAUUCCACUGUGGUUUGCAGUGUGCAAGUGGAUAUCGAUCACAUGUUGUACACGUGGAUAUAAUAAUCUAACUGUACAUGUGGAUAAUAAUACAAUAUGUGUACACCACAUAAUACAGUAUGUGUACACUUGAUAGUUCUUACAUGUUCUUGUGUACUAAAAAUUUGAACUACAAUCAAUCUAGAUAUCAUAAUAGAUAUAACACUUAUGUACAUCUACUCCAAAAACUUUCAUUUAUCCAAAGUACGUAUAUGUACAUGUUCUUGUGUACUAAAAAAUAUGUGGACAUCGUUUCGUGUACACGUGGAUAACGUUACACGUCGAUCAUUGGAGGAACUUUCUUUUGCUCUUCUUUGGUUAAGGCUAUGUCUUUGCAGUUGUAGUUGCAAUGCAACAAUAUAUCAAAUGUUUAGAGGUUUAUUUUGGUGAUUUCUGCUUUCUUGGAAUAUAUGGUGUUCCCACUGAUUAUAUGUAAGUGUGCCAUUUUUCGUUUUUCACUUUGUGGUUAUUUUAAAAAAUGUUGUUUGAAAGUAAUAACUAAGUUUAAUUUAAACUUAAGGUGUAUAUGAGAAUAUGUACUUGUGAUAUGUUCUACCAGUGUACAUGUGGAUUAUAUUUAUAUGUAAGUGUGCCAUUUUUCUUUUUUUCGCUUUUUGGUUAUCUUAAAAAAUGUUGUUUGAAAGUAAUAACCUAGUUUAAUUUAAACAGAAUGUGUACAUGUGGAUAUGUUCUUGGAGUGUACAUGUGGAUAAUAUUACAUCAAUUAUGAGGAGGACUGGGAUGAGCAAUCAAAAGGGUUAAUCUAAUAGAUAUAUGCACAACUAAAAAGUUAUAUAAAAUAUGAAGGACCAAAGUUGCAAAAAAAAGUGGCCAUUGAUGUUCGAGCUUCUCGAAACAGUGCUGCGAUGAAGAGACAAGGUGAUGACGUCGGGAAAGUUGUAGAACCCAGCAGAGGAGAUGACGAAGAAAACUACGACAGACUUGAGGCUUUGACGGCGUAAGAGAUGACGGGACGAAAACGCUAGAGAUGACGAGACGAAAACGCUAGAGAUGAGUUGCCGAGCACAAAUCAAGGCGGAUAAGGAAGAGUUGCGGUGGAGAAAAGUUGGGAUUUGAGUGGUUCGUGUAUCCACUUAUUUCAAGAUUCAAAAUUGAAUCUUAUUUCGAGAUUCAAAAAAUUUCAUAUGUUUUUCAUUAAAGUGGCUUUUCUGCAGUCGAGAGAGAGAAAACAAAUGAUUAAGAUUAAAAAUGGUGGGACCACUUUAGUUAGAAGAAUGAAAUUAGUUAGCAAUUAAUUGCUAAUAACCGCGGAUCGUUUUUUUUUUUAGUUAAAAUUUCGACUCGCUCAACCCGCAAAGAAAUAAACUAAUACCCGCACCCGCCCCGUUUUAUUUUGCGGGUAAUCCGCGGGACUCGCGGAUUAUAUUUUUAAUUAAAAANNNNNNNNNNNNNNNNNNNNNNNNUUUUUUUUUUAUUUUAUUUUGCGGGUUGGCGGGUAUCCGCAAAUCAAAAUCCAAAAACCCGCAUCCGCCCCGCAUAAAAUAGUCUUAACCCGCACCUGCACCCGCGACUUGAUUUUUUCAAAACGCUCGACCCGCACCCGUCCCGCGGCGGGUCAAAUGGGGCGGGCCCGCGGGCUUUGAUUUAAAUUUUCAGGCCUCCUCAGUAGCAACAAGUGACUUAUUAUGUAAUAAAAAGAUGGAAAGUGACCUAUAAUGAAAAUAACUCACUAAUAACUCACUAAUCAAUCAUGUGCAAAGGAUUAAAGGUAAACCCGAUAACAUCUUGUCAUGGGUUGGUAAUGACAGAUUAACAGUGUUAUGGAAUGAUUCCUUUUCUUUUUGCCAGCAAAUAAUUCAAUUAAAUAUUUUCUGUUGCAAUGGGUUUCUACAGUAGAAAGUGACAUGAUAUUUUUUAAAAACUUUGAUGUUAUUCUACCGCAUACGGAAACUCAAAUUAUGCCGUAUAAUUUUGACAAUUGAGGAAUACAGUUUGACAUAAUCAUAGAUACCAACCUUUUGGAGGGGGGGGGGGGGGGGGNNNNNNNNNNNNNNNNNNNNNNNNNNNNGGGGGGGGUAAAAUGUCAAAGACGACAACAAAACAUAGCACAUUUUGCUCGUUUUCCAUCAAGCCUAUUUCUCCAACUUGCAUCAUGGAUUUACCCCCAAAAAAAAAGUAGCAUCAUGGACCGAUCAUCAAGAACAUAUGAACAAAAAACAAAUAAAAAAUAGAUGGUUACAUGGAUUUACUUUACUCAAUCAGUGUCAGAAAUUGACAAUAAAGGAAACAUUCACGUGUAUGUCUGAGCAUGUACCACUAUUACAACCAUCUCGAUAGUUGCUAAAUCAGGUAAUAUAAACUACAAAGAAUUUUAAUAGUAUUUGUAUUUUUAACUUCGAAUUUACGUGUUACUCAUCUUUUAACCAGUUUUGAUAACGUACCAUUUUCUUUUCUCAGCCUCUGUAUUUAAUAUAGCACUAAUAGUUUCAAUUGUAGGUCUAUCUAUCACAUUGUAUACAUCCAGGUAAUGUUCCAAAAUUUUAUACAAAAUACAUAGUUUAUUUUAGGAAAAUAGUUAUACAUGACGUUAAAAUAUGUGAUUUUUUUCUUUUAAUUGGAAGAGGUGAAUUAGCUUUUUAUACCCUUUGUUAAUGGUAUCGAAAUGGUGAUGUACGUUUAGAGCAUCAUUAUUGCCGAAUCCUUAAUAAUUGGUCCUUAAACUUUUUUUUUAUCCAAUUUAAAAAAAAAAAAAUUAAAAAUGAACCAAUCGCGGACCGCCACGUUUCAGUGGGGUCUGCGAACAGUACAGAGACCAAACCAAAAUGUCUCUUAGUUAAGGACUUUCUCCCUCAUGUGUUUUUGUGGGCCCUUCCUCUUAAGGACCAAACUAAGGACAUCAUUAUUGGGAGUCCCUUAAAGCAUCCUUUAGAGGAGGGUGUGGGAACCGAGGAAGAAAGAGAAGAGAAAAAACCCUAAUUAAGAGUUGUCUCUUACUCUCCAACGAAAAAAAAAAAAAAAAAAAAAAAAAACAAUAGACUCUCUUUCUCUCUCUCUUCGUCCCACCAAUAAUGAUGCUUUAAGGACUGCAAUAAUGUUGCCCUUAAGACUACAUACUUAAUUAAGAUAAUAAAUACAUGGCGUCUUGAACAUAGACUAGUAAAAUAUAGACUAGUAAAAUAUUGACUAUAUCUAAAAAUUUAGGAUAUAUAUAUAUAUAUAUAUAUCUUUUUAAAAAAAAUGUUUACUAAAUUAUUUACAUAGACUCCAAAAUUUAGGACGACCAUAAAUAAAUUUAUAUGCAUAAAUAGAUUAGAGAAAAGAAAAUGAUUUUCCUUUUUGCUGGACAAAGAUUCCUACUCUUGUUGCGUUCAGACCACACAUCUACCAAGUGCCAUACGAACACGUGAUUUUUCUCCUUCCAAAUUUUCGUCCGUGUCUGUUUAUCAUAUCGUUUUCUCCACAUACUGCCUGUAAUACAUGUACAAAAGAAACGCUGUUUUGAUUUCAUAUUUAUCCUGGUUAUUAUUAUCAUAUAUUUUCGGCCUUAUAUACAUAUAUAUAUAAUCACUCUUUGAUCAAUUCUAAUCAUGAUUCAUGCUUCACGUGAUGCUAACAAUUAAACAGAGAUAGUUUACAGUAGCGUCGGCCGAUAACAAAUAACAAAAGACAACGUGAUUUAGCUGACUAUGUCAUGCAUUACAUUAAAAAUCGGAAUGUUUGGUUAAAUUUUUGAAGUGAUUAAUGUUAAAAAAUAAUAUGACAUUUAAAAACUGAAUGCAGGAAAAAAGAGCGAGGUUAAAUGUUUUCUAAUAGUCUUGGAUGCUGCAGUUAUAAAACUCCAUACAUUCCAUAAUUUAAGAUGUUUUGCAUAAAGCACAAUUUUUUUUACGAUCCCCUAAUUAGGUAUGAAGUUGAGGGUAUAUAUAUAAUGUUAAUAUGACUCCCGUUGGUAUAUAGAAUUGUCGAUUCUAGAGAUGGAAUAUCACUAGUUACAUAGUUUCAUUACGACUCUAACUGGUAACCAUUAAAGUAAUAUGAUGAAUAAACAGGAAAAAAAUGAAAAAAAUAAAAUAAAAAGAAUAACUAUUUCUCUCCUAAUUUGAUAAAGUAUAAUUAUAGUCUAUUAUUUUUUAAAUGUUAAGGAACGAAGGAAUCAUAUGAAUAAAUAUUCAUUGUAAAUAGUGUAAAUUGUAAGUAAUCAUAAAAAAUUUACUAUUUCUAUCCAUUUCAUUGGUCACUAUUUAGAACCUAGGUGAAAUAUAGCAUGGCAUGGCUCCAUGUCGGCAAACCACAUGCAUGACGAAUGGCUCGUUUCUUACCUAAACUAAAUGAAUUCUAUCAGUCGUGGUUUGUAUUCGAACAAACUUUUUUUUUUAGAGAAUUCGAACAAACUGUAAAUGAACUUGUUACGCAAAAGAACAAAACGUCAAUUGUACAAACUCACGUUCAAUUAUUGUUUCCAAUUAGACGUCACGUUCAAUUAUUGUUUCAAUUAGACGUCGAUUAUAUAGUUGCAGUUCAUAUAAUUUUGACAAUCCUUUUUUUAUUUUGGUACUAUCUAACUUUUAACCUAAUUAAGAAAAAAACACAAUAACGAAACGUCUUUGUUUUCCCAAAAAAAGAAAAACACGGUAGAUUAAACUACGAGUGAUUCACGAGAACAAAAUUCCUGAAAGCGCAUGAUAGCCUGAAGAACGUAGAAAAUGACACCCAAAAUAUCUAAAGAAUGCUAAAACGCGUUUCCCUUGUGCCAUGUAGCUAGUAUUAACUUCUCUCUACGUCCACCCAGACCUGCCUGUUCACAGCACGACAAAGCCACUUACCUAUAAAAACACAACACCUUUCCCAUUGAUGUUGUCUUUACACAAACACCGUUAUCUCUUCAAAACCAAUAAAAACCCAACGUGUGCUCAAGACGUGUUGACGCCGUUAGUCCUUGUAACAAAUUAAAGCAGCAUUUAUAUUUCGUGCUAAUCUAUAUUACUACCAUCUAGACUUUAGUUUCUACUUUUAAUUAUCGCUCUCCAAGUUUCAACCGAUGGUUUGAUGGUCUUUGGGGUCAAAAGAGAAGAUUAAUCUUUCAACUACGUGUUUUACAAGUUACUGCUUGUCGUAAUGAUUUUGAUAUUACUUAACCUACCAUCGUAAAUAAAUAGAUAUAGGUAUUUAUUUUGAUUUAUCUUACAAACCAAUUUUCUUUUCAUUAAAAGACUGUAUAUUAUCCAUAUAGAUGUGUUGAGUUAAAAAAAACACACACAUAUAUGUAUCUAUUUGUUUCUUUUUCUAAAUAAAUUUUAGAACUGUAAUUUUUAAAAUUUAAAUUUUAUUAGUUAGUGUUCACUUUUUUCCCUAUGAUCUAUGUCAAAUAUUGGAGAAAUUUUAUAGGAUAGUUAUUUUAAGUUUUUUUCAUAAAAAUAUAAAAAUAGCAAUCAAUGAAAAAAAUGACCAAGUUUUUUUUAUUAAAAAGUAAAAACACAUUUAUAUCCUAGAAUUAAAUAAUCUAAACUUAGAGUUCAGAGUUAAAACAUGGAGUUUUAAGAAUAAAGUUUUAAAUUUUAAAAAAUUAAAAAUUAAAAAUUAAAAUUUUCAUAAAAAUGAUUAUUUUGAUCAUUUUCUUUAUUGAAAACUAUUUUCUAUUCUUAUAAAAAGGACUAUUAAAAUGUUAUUUAAUAGAAUUGCCCUAAAUAUUUUCUACUCUUAUAAAAAUAAUAAGGGAGGGGACGACAAUAAUAUCGUGACUUGUCUUGUCUAUCGCUUUGUGAGGUCGCGGACCCUGGUCCCCCGGAAAUGGUUACAACCGGGAAUAGACGGUGCGUGGGAGAAUGGUAACCGGUGAAAGCCGGUUUUGAUUACUCUUGGUUAAGCCUUUGGUCGCGUCAGACCCAGAAAAGAAAAGAUAAGAAAACACACAGAAAAAAAAAAGUAAAGAGAGAGAAAGUAGAGAGAAGAAGAAGAAGAAGAGUAAAAAGGUAGCUUCUCGCCGGUGUUCAAGCGUCUGUAACUCCCUAAACGAGCAGAGGAAGACGAAGGCGAGUGAAGGAGAGAGCACACGGAGCUGUCGUAUCUCUAAAUCGAGGUUUGAUUCUAGGGUUUUAUCUUCUCUGUUAGCUCUAUUAGGUAAGCUAAACGAGUGGCGAUUGUGUUUGUUGCAGUUAUAGAGACGAAGGAACGGAAUCGAGUCGAGGAUUCUGAGAUUUUUUCUUGUUGAUUUCGUCCUUCUUCGUUGGGUAGAUGAAACAGAUCUGAGGUAUGACGAGUUCUGAGGCCAUAAACGUCGCCGUUUCCGGCGAGGGGCAAAAAGGUCAUUCUAACCGUGUUGGUGAGAGAGUCUCCGUUUCUGACUUUUCUUUAGCUUUGGUUUUGGUUACAGACUGACUUUUUUUUUAAUUUGUUCGUAGUGGAUGCUGAAGCUGCUCUGUAUAGAGAGCUGUGGCACGCUUGUGCUGGUCCUCUCGUGACGGUGCCUAGACAAGAUGACAGAGUCUUCUACUUCCCUCAGGGACACAUCGAGCAGGUGAGGUUUCAGAGAUUUCGUCCCUUUUCUAUUUUUUUUUCUUUUUUACUUGAAAAGAAAUAAUUUUUGUCGUUUUGUUGAUGAUUAGGUGGAGGCGUCGACUAACCAAGCAGCUGAACAGCAGAUGCCUCUCUAUGAUCUUCCUUCUAAGAUCCUUUGUCGAGUUAUUAAUGUUGAUUUAAAGGUAGCCUUCGCUUACUCCAUUGUGAAAGUUUGGUUUUUGAGUCUUGAAUUGUCAGCUGAUGAUAUGGUUUUACAGGCAGAGGUUGAUACCGACGAGGUUUAUGCGCAGAUUACUCUUCUUCCCGAAGCUAUUGUGAGUUGUGUGUUUUCUUAGUCUUUCUUUGGUUUGAGUGGGAGUAUAGGUUGAUGAUUGUUUCUGUUUUUUUUUCUUGCAGCAAGACGAGAAUGCGAUUGAGAAAGAGGCGCCGCCUCCUCCUCCUCCUAGGUUUCAGGUGCACUCGUUCUGCAAAACCUUGACUGCGUCUGACACAAGUACGCAUGGUGGAUUCUCUGUGCUGAGGCGGCAUGCGGAUGAAUGUCUCCCACCUCUGGUUGGUGUUUCGUUUGCUUCUUCUAACCCAUUUUCCUGAGUUUUGGUUAUUUAAUUCACCCUUGUGUUUCUUCUGUCAGGAUAUGUCACGUCAGCCUCCUACUCAAGAGUUAGUUGCAAAGGAUUUGCAUGCAAAUGAGUGGCGUUUCAGGCAUAUUUUCCGAGGUAUAGGAAACGUAUUAUGAGUAUCUUAUUUAAUUUCUGUUCCUUGAAUCUUUUGUGUCGACAACGUGUUUUUUGUUGGUUGAUGUUUGUAUCAGGUCAACCACGAAGGCAUUUGCUUCAGAGUGGAUGGAGCGUGUUUGUUAGCUCCAAGAGGUUGGUUGCAGGCGAUGCAUUUAUAUUUCUAAGGUUUGUGGAUUUAUAAGCUCAUUAUGUUCUUGACUACAUUUGUAUCUUUUUGGUCGUUGAUGUCAAAUUUCUAAUUGUUCUGUAGGGGUGAGAACGGAGAAUUACGUGUGGGUGUAAGGCGUGCAAUGCGACAACAGGGAAAUGUGUCAUCUUCUGUAAUAUCGAGCCACAGCAUGCAUCUUGGAGUAUUAGCCACCGCAUGGCACGCCAUUUCAACAGGAACCAUGUUUUCAGUCUAUUAUAAGCCAAGGUUUGUUUUGGUUUAGCUUAGCUAACUUGACUACUUUGAUCCUUUGCUGUUUUGUAUAUGUUCGAUGUCUGGGAGUUUUACUUAUUAAAUGUUCAUGCAUUGUGCAGGACAAGCCCAUCUGAGUUUAUUGUUCCGUUUGAUCAGUAUAUGGAGUCUGUGAAAAAUAACUACUCCAUAGGCAUGAGGUUUAAAAUGAGAUUUGAAGGCGAAGAGGCUCCUGAGCAGAGGUAAAACAAGUACUGUUUUUGAGUAUCUAUAUCUGAUUCUGUUGAAGGCCAAGCUCACAGGUUGUAUUGAUUUAUAUUAGGUUUACUGGCACAAUUGUUGGGAUUGAAGACUCUGACCCCACGAGGUGGGCUAAAUCAAAGUGGAGAUCCCUCAAGGUAGAUGAUGACCUAUAUUGUAGGCAAGAUCUAGACACUGUUCUUAUAGUGAAUGAAGGCUAAUUGUUUAAUUUUCUUGCAGGUAAGAUGGGAUGAGACUUCUAGUAUUCCUCGCCCUGAUAGGGUAUCUCCGUGGAAGCUAGAGCCAGCACUUGCUCCUCCGGCUUUGAGUCCUGUUACCAUGCCCAGGCCUAAGAGGCCCAGAUCCAACAUAGCUCCUUCAUCUCACGACUCUUCCAUGCUCAUAAGAGAAGGUAAAGUCUCCAUUAGUGCGUCUGAAAAUUACUCAUUGGAAAUGGAAGACUAAUAAAUUGUCCACUCAACAGGCUCAGCUAUGGGAAACAAGGACCCUUUACCGGCAAGUGGAUUUUCAAGGGUCUUGCAAGGUCAAGAACACCCGACCUUGAGAACGAAACAUACUGAGACUGUAGAGUGCGAUGCUCCUGAGAGUUCUGUUGUGUGGCAAUCCUCAGCUGAUGAUGACAAGGUUGAUGUGGUUUCGGCUUCUAGAAGAUAUGAGAACUGGAUGUCCUCUGGCAGACAUGAAUCUGCUUACACGGAUUUGCUUUCUGGGUUUGGGGCGAACGUAGAUCCAUCACCCGGUCAUCAGAUACCUUUUUAUGACCAUUCAUCACUACCUUCUGUGGCCGCAAAUAAAUUCAUUGGUGAUAGGGAUGGCAAGUUUGAUUAUUUUGCUAACCAGUGGCAGAUGAUGCACUCUGGUCUUUCCCUGACGUUACAUGAAUUUCCUAAGAUCCCUGCGGCAUCUGAUACCUCUUUUCAAGGGCGAGGCAAUGCCAAAUAUGGAGAAUAUCCGGUGCUUCAUUCUCUGACGACUGAGAACGCUGGUGGUAACUGGCCAAUACGUCCACGUGCUGUGAAUUAUUUCGAGGAAGCGGUUCAAGCUCAUGCGCAAGCUCAGGCUAGGGAGCAUGUAACAAAACGACCAGAGAUGGUAGAGGAGACGGCAAAGUCGAGAGAUGGGAACUGCAGGCUUUUUGGCAUUCCUCUGGUCAACAAUGUGAAUGGGACAGAUUCAACUAUGUCUCCGAGAAACAACUUCAAUGAUACUGCGGGGCUUACGCAGAUGACAUCUCCAAAGGUUCAGGAUCUUUCUGAUCAGUCUAAAGGGUCGAAAUCAACUAAUGAUCAACGUGAACAAGGAAGACCAUUUCAAGCUAAUCAUCCCCAUCCGAAGGACGUUCAUACUAAAACGCAUUCAAGUAGGAGUUGCACAAAGGUGAGAGUUCUUUUGCUAUCAUUCCACACAAAAAGUAUGAGCUUGUAGGAACCCUUGAAGCAAUUCUUGACUAUCAACACUACACAUUGGUUUUAUUUUGCAAAAGGUUCAGAAGCAGGGGAUUGCACUUGGCCGGUCAGUGGAUCUCUCAAAGUUCCAGAACUACAAAGAGUUGAUAGCUGAAUUGGAUAGGAUGUUUGAGUUCAACGGAGAGUUGAUGGCUCCUAAGAAGGAUUGGCUGAUAGUUUACACAGACGAUGAGAAUGAUAUGAUGCUUGUUGGAGACGAUCCUUGGCAGUAAGAUUUUGCAGUUUUUCUUUAUGUCAUUGUAAUAUGUGUUAUUCAAUUUUAACACUUGACACAAUUUUCUUUAUUCGCAGGGAGUUUUGUGGGAUGGUUCGUAAAAUCUCCAUAUACACGAAAGAGGAAGUGAGGAAGAUGAACCCGGGAACUCUAGGCUGUAGGAGCGAGGAAGAAGCAGUUGUUGGGGAAGGAUCGGAUCCAAAGGACGCCAAGUCUGCAUCGAAUCCUUCACUGUCCAGCGCCGGACACUCUUAAACUUAAAAAAAAAAACAAGACCCGUUUGCUACAAGCCGAGGUAUGUUUAUAUUAUACUUGUGUGUUCUUCUGAAUUAAUAACUUGACAGGUUACUAGAGAGACACAGAGCCAAGUUCAUUUAAUUACCAUACAAAUAAUAUUUGGUAUUUUUGUAACGCAGGGGAAGAGUGGUAGGAACAGAAAUCAAGAAGAGUUUAAUGGUGGAGACUGGAGAGUAAAAAGAGAUUAUGGAGGGGGAGUGGGGUUAUUAAGUAAUGGUAUUAAAAAUGCAAUUUUUGAAGUAUUUUGUUGGGCAGUUAGGUUAUUAGCAUCUUCCACCAUCCUAAUAUCUAAUAAUAAUCAAAUAUAAAUAUAUAUUUUAUUAAGUAAACAAAAAUGGUUAGAGGUAUUAUAUGGUAGAAUAUGGGAAGGGUCUUUUAUAAGUAGAAAAGAUGGUGAGAAGUUGUAGAUGGAGGCUGGGUUUCGGUUCUUUACUUACUAUAUGUAUUUCUUCUUUCAUCAAAUGAUUACUUAAAAGUCUUAUUGUUUAUAUAUUAAUCUCAAUGUACAUAAGUUUUUAAGAUUUUACCUCUUUUUGAGUAUUCGGAUUAGUUAUUAAUAUUAUGAUUGUUUAAUCUUAGUUUCGGUUAGUUCAACUAAGAUAAAGAACAGGGGUUGUGUAACUUCUUUGGCACGCAAACCAAAUUUGUUAGAUUGCAGUGUAAUUUAUACAUCCAGUGUUAUAUAUUUUUCUCCUUGAUAAGAAACGAAGAAUGCAUCCUUGAUUUAUCGAUCUGGUUCCUAUUCAAUCGAUCCGAAGCUCUUCAUCCGUAGUAACCUGGGCCUCCAACGCCCAAACUAUGUUCUGCAACAGCUAUGUAGUACUAAUACUGUCCAUGAACAGAUCUCUUGUAGCCACUAGUCUCGUUAGAGAUCUCGAGCCUCUGUUUAGGCGCGCUCUGUGACAGGACUUUAGCUUUGUAAGACAUGUAGUUCGGGUGAUAUUCUCUGUACUUCUCAAACCCAACAGAGAUUCUUGUCUUUUACUCGGAGACUCAUUGUUUCUAUCUGAACGUAACGGUUUGGGAUGAUGACGAGGCUUCCAAGUAUCCACUUCUUGAAUCUUAUCUUCGUCUUCCAUAAAGAUGAUAUCAACGUUUGAAACGCAACGUUUGUGGAGAAGAAGAUGAAGGGAAGAGUAGAGCGGUUUAGGAGUGAAAGGAACGAGAGGCUCGAGCACGAGCACGAGCUAACUAGCAUCUGCAUCCUUCGAAGCAUAUCUGAAGUUUGCUUCUCACUAUGAAGCUUCACUAAUGCCUUUAAGUGCUCUUAGUGCCCUCCCUCCUCGCCUGAUUUUUGUUCACAUUAAACCAAAAAAAAAAAAAAAUUCAAUUCAGACAGUAAAGCCAACUCGACAUAGGUUUUAAUUCUUUGUUGAGAUUUGUGUUUGUGUGUUAGGGCUUAUCAUUAUAUUUCAUGUAUAUAUUUUCCGAACAAACAACAACCUUAUGUAUCAUCUUACGUAUAAAUUUCAAUUGGUUAACUAAAUAAAACUUAUAGCAAAUGGAUAUACCGUUGAUACUAAAAGAUAUACUUUUAGUUGGAAAUUUGGAUGAUUUAGAAAAUCAUGUGAUAUUAAUAAAACUCUUAAAAAAAUUUCGUCUCCUGCAAACAAUAUUACUAUAAGAUUUGCGUUUGCGCGACAAACACUUGGACACACCAAUGGACGACUUGGCCAAAAGCCCUUUUUAUUUGGUCAUGCAAUACAUGUGUUCAAGUGAGUUUCUCUCCACUAUCCCGCAUCCACUCAAACUCAGACACACACACACAAUUAUGUUUUAUAUAUUACAAAAGCUCUAAUAUCACUCUAUAUAAGAUAUAUAAUGGUGCAUAUAACAUGUGUAAAUCUAUCAACCAAGUUAGCCAUCUUAAAAUUGUUAAAAUAUGAUCUUAGAUAAUUGACCAAAUCUAAAAGAUACCAUCCAUUAAUUAGUCUAUCUUAUCACAAUUUUUCUUUUAAAGUUGUAAAACAUGACGAAGUUAUUGAUCACUCUGGCAUUAUUAUAUCAUAUCAUGCAUCACGUUUGGACGACUAAAGCUAAAACAAAUCCACCAAAUUGUACCUGAAUAAAUGAGAGUGAACAUAACGGGUUGUUGGAUUAUAAAAUCAUCUAAACUCUUAAAAAGAGCCACAACCAUUUUAAAGCACAUAUAUUUUAUGUUAUACUUUUAUAACGUUUCAUGCGCCACUAUGUGCAUAUGAAAACACUUAAUGGAUGCUUACAUUAUAUAAUAAACGUUGGGAUCACUUUCAGCCGUUCUUGACAAUAUAAGCCUCUAGAAUUGGGACUGCUUUUGUAGAAUAUGGACCGAUGUGACUUUGCCAAAAUUUCAUUUUAACAGUUGGUCCUCGCUCCUAUCGAUUACUCAUUUUCCGCACGCCAUUGACAAUAUUCGAGAUUCCCAUUAUUUUCAUCUUCAAUUAUUUUCUAGUCUCACACCAUACUUCCUAAUCCAAUUGUACAUCAACACGAUAUAUGCAGACAAAUCUAAACAUCUAAAUAAAAAGAAAAGCAUUAGUGAUCUUUUUGAAUUUUGAAAAUAGUAAUUUGAUGACGUGCUAUCACCGUCUUACGCCUCGCCACCUUAACUAGAGGCUUUUUAUGAGAAACUCAAAAUAUUUUAUCAUUAUCGCAUUUAUUGUGUCAAUAAUCACAUUUAGCAGUGUAUAUCAUUCAUAAAUGGUUCGUUAUGUUUUUGAUUAAAGUACAUAUCAUUGGUUAGACGAAUCAAAUCCACCAUCUGCUUUGUGUAUAUUUCGCUAGUGUUAUAAAUCAUGGAGUGGAUUGUCAUUAACCAGGCCCAGACCGAAACCGGUCCAAUACCUAGAAGAUGGAGAGAUGACCAAAGCCUAGAGAGAGGAGAGAGAGAGCCGACUUCAGGAGAGAGAAAGACGGCCACAAAGCUUGGAGAAAAGAAAACCCUUUCCUUUUCCUAGUAGAUGUAAUCUUUCCAUUAUUAUGUAUUAGUAGUUUUCCUAAUCCUAGUGAGUUUAGGUUUUGGAUACUUUCCAUUUAUCUUCAUCUUGGAACCCCCUUGAUCAUUAAUAAUAACACAAAAAUAUUCAGUCUCUAAACUCUCUAAUUACAACACGUUAUCAGCACGAUAGACUCCAAAACUCUGAGACAAAACCUAACCUAAAAUCCGUCACACAUAAACCCUAAAUCAUGCGCAAUUUAAAUCGAUCUAUCUCUCAAACCCUGAGGAACCAGAUGACGAGCCACGCAUCAUCUUGAAGCUCUUGAUGAGAAAAAUCCAUCAGCGCAAACCGUUCGUCGAUCCAAUCUCAGACGCGCCCACACUCGCAGAAAUAAUACGCGGCGCCGUCUUGGUCUUUUGGAACCCUAAUCCGAACCAACAUGAUUUUCUAGCCAAAUUCAAAUCCUGUGAAAGAUAAGUUUAUCAUACUCCUUGUUUUUAUUUCAUGAGCUGAGAGGAGUUGGUGCAAAGAUCUCAAACACAAAGCUGUUCGCGAUCCAUCUACUGACCAUGAACCGACGAUCUCAAGCUUGACCAGAUCACGGUUCUACUCAUAUUGCUUCCUGUUCACAACAGAGCCAGCCCACGUUCGCAUCACAGCCAGCUCGCAAUUCAGAUCAGCCGCUUGCAGAGGCAGCAGCUCGCGAACUAGAUAAGAAGAAGACGCGUCCCGAUCGCGUCUGACUACCUCAGCACACAUCCGUGACCAGACGCAAGACCGUUCCAGACAGCUCGCGUCCGUCCCAGCUUGCGACCCGAUAAGGAGCCAGCUCGCGUUCGUGUGCAACUAGAGGUUCAUCUGACUUUGGUGGUCCAGUUCAACCCUACAAAAAAAAGGUAAUUCGAAAUCUGAAAACAAGAAUCGAAUUUGGUUGUUUUGUAAAGAUUGAAACCUUAAAAUAUAAUCUCUAAAACUAAAGCCUUAGGUUAAAUAGAUCAAUCCCCUAUGAGUAAAUCGAAGCUCUAUAAGUUCGAUCUAAAACCUAAAAACGAGAUUGAUCCAUUGAUCAAUUAAAAUCAGAACCUUAAAGAUUUUUGAAUCUCAAAUCAAAUCCCCUUGAUCAAAGAUCAAAGUUUUCGAAAUCCCCUAAAACUCUAAUUUUGGAAAAUCAGUUUUAAUUUUGAUUUGAAACUUGAGUGUUUGAUUGAUCGCCUAGAGCUAUGAUUAGGAUUGUUUUAAAACUUGAAACUGAAUCUUGUUUAAACUAAAACCCUAAUCUCAAAUUUUAAAAUUCCUAAAGGCCUUGAAACCUUAAAUCUCUCAUUACUUAAAGCUUGAAAGAUUGAUUUAAAGAAUUUACAUAUUGAAUGAGAGUUAGGUUGCUAGAUUAUUUAAUUCUAAAACCUAAUAGAUAUGCAACUAAGAAAUAGGAUUGAAUGCAUUUAGAUCCCGUUUUUUAUAUGGCCGUGUGGCCUAAUACAUUGUUCAUACUUGCGGCCUUGUGCCCUUGAUUGAUUAAAAGCCGUGUGGCUUAGUGCAUAUCAAAGUGACCGUGUGGCCGAGUAUCCGGAUGGUUAUAUAAACCGGAUUGCAUCAUGAACCAAUCUUUAGGAUUGUUGUAUCAUACCAAGAUGGCCGUGAGGCCUAAGCAUCACAAUACUUGAUCGUGUGGUCCAAGUAUCAUAGAGAGACUUAUGAAAUCAUAUGCACUGAUUAUUUUGAAUUGGUUGCAUUCUAAAUCAAUGAAUUGAUUGAUAAUAUGAUUUCAGAUGCCGAGAUUUGAACCCAUAGAUUAUACCAUUCUAAAUCUCUCUGGAGAUAAUUAUCUAGAAUUGAAAAUGAACACUUCAAUUGCCCUGAAGUCUAAAGGACUCAGGAAAUGUAUCAUUGAAAGAAAUGAUGAAAUUGAAAGUGAAAAGUUAAGAGCCAUAACUAUUAUGAGCCAUCAUCUCACUAAGGAACUGAGAAAUCAGUAUCUACAUAUUGAGAAUCCUCGUGACCUUUGGACAUAAUUAAAGUCCAGAUACACUAUGGUAUUAUUACCAAAGGUCAAACAUGAAUAGAUGAGUCUCAGAUUCCAAAACUUUGAGACAGUGGCCGAGUUUCACUUUGCCUUGUCCAGGGCCGUGUACCAACUGAGAUUAUGUGGAGAAGAGGUAACAGAUAAUGAUUGUAUAUUCAAGACAUACUCCACAUUCCAUCCAGAAGAUUUGUUGUCAAAACAUAUCUACAUAAAAAGAGGUUCUACCACUUACAAUGACCUGAUCUCUUGCCUAACGGUGAUUGAGAAUGACAAGGUACUAAAGAAAAGCAGUGAGAUGAAAUAUCCUGAGGAAAUGGAUCAAGAUGAAUCCAAGGCAGCCGUGUCCAAUGCAAUAGAUGGACAGGCCAGCUUAUCUAUUUAACUAAAAGGAUCUCAACACGAUUUUAUUUUAAGUCUUUGAUUUUGUGAUUUACUUUUAAACCUAUUUGAUGGCAUUCACGAUUUUUAUAUAAAAGAGUUUGAGUUUAUUAUAUCUUGCCUGAUCUUACUUGAACAUAUGAAUAUUUUGAUAAAGAGUUGCCUAAAGGGCAUAAUAUCAAGUAAGAAAUCAUGAAUGGGUAUAGUAAGCCUAGUAAAGAAACUAUGGCUAAGGCAUUGCCUUAAAAGGCAUUAUACACACCCAAAAGAACAUGUGACCCAUUGAAGAUAUAAUGUAUGGUUUCCAAGUAGAAACAAUGGGUAAGGAAGGAAACAAGUUCCUUUAGAUUUUAAGAAGAAAAACGCCUAAGACCUUGAAAGAAAGUGGUCGAGACUAUACCUAUGAUCUCUACUGAUCAAAACUAUGCUACAGAUCAGUAUGAUAAAGAGGCAAGAGAUGUGGUAACCAUAUUGAGAUAACACCAUGAAAUUUUACACUAUAUGGCAUGAUAAGAUUAGCCAUCCUAAAUUCUAAACUUGAUGCAAAGAUUGAAAAGGCAUAGAGUUAUCCCGUAAAAGAUCUCACGUUGUGAAACAUGUACACAAAGAGAAACUCAUUAGGCUUAAUUGUCCCAAGCACCACGACCUUAUAGUAUGGUCAUGAGGGGGAGAGAGGAUAAACCCAUGAUCAAUACUACAAGUUCGUGUACCACUAUGGUCUAAGACACCAUGUUAUAUGGCUAGGCCAUUACCCGGCUAAAGAGACCAUAAACGGCUCGGCCGUGACUUGGUCGUGACUUGGCCGCAUAGUGCAGGCUUGGCCACACACGUUCCAUUACCUAUAAAAGGUUCGGCCUUGUAAGCCAUUAUCUAUAAGACUAAGAUUCUAAAGUCUAUAAGCUUGGAGACAUUAUGAAUUGACAUGUAUAAGAAUGAUAAUAUGCAUCAGACCAUAUAAGUGAGCAUAGAUAUUCCCAUCUCAGAUUAAAUACGGGUCAUAAAGCCAGACAUACACCAUCUUAAAAGAUUUUGAAUAAACCACCACAUACAUACAUGUGCCGUCUAAGAUGGAACCUCAGAAGAGGAUUGAGAAUAUAUAAGAAUAAGAUCUUCUCCACGAAUUCAAAAGGACCGUGAGCCAAAACAUGAGUGAUCAAAUAGUGGCCAGGUACGGAUUGCAUGAAACAAAUGAAUCCGAAUAUUAAAGGAAAAAGAUUAAAAGCUGGAUACAUAAAUAUUAAAAAGUAAAAGAAUGAAAAGAAUGGUUUUAACCAUCAUUGUCUUGGCAAAGAUCCUCGGACUAUACAUUAUGAUUUAAGACGUCCAAAGAAAGAUUAUACAAAGUUAGAUAAUCGAAAUGCCAGACACUGACCCGAGAAAUGACUAACCAGCUUAGCACCAAAUGAAUGUCCUAGAAGAGACAUAAUCAAGUUGCUAUAGAGUCUAUACAAGAUAGACCAAGUAUUCCAUAUGAUAAAGGAAUCUCGGAUAGAAAAAUGGUGCAUAGAAUACAGAUCCGAGAUUAUAAGAGAAACCAUACCAGACAUUGAGAAAAGGCUGCGCAGCUACACAUUUAAGGUACCAAACCAUGUAGUCUUGGGACGCCAAGCUACUAGGUAAUAAAGGUCCUGGAUAAUAAGAUCUCAAAUCUAUAGAUCAUGUCUGGAACAUAAUGGAACCACAUGAAAGUGUCGACACACACACAAACAUUUGUAUAAAGAUACAUAAAGUUAUAGCACUUGAACAUAAAGAGAUAAGCGAGGAUCAUGAACCCACAAAUGAGUACUCAUACAAUCAUAAAAGAUCAUAGAGAUUAGAAAAGAUAAAACGUGGAGGUUCAAAGUAUCUAAAAGAGAGAUGGGCGUAUUGGCCAUAUACAUAUACAGAAACGCCAUCUGAUAAACCAGUGAAAUAUAUGGAUCUUGUGAGGUAAAGAAACCGUGAGAGAAGGCACAUGAUCAUGAGGUCUAAGAGUGUUCAUGUUUUCCUACUAACAGCAUUAGAUUAUAGCUUGUUACACAAGGUACUCACAGAGAUCAAAGGAACAGAUUAUAAGGAGAUAAACUCCUAUGUGGUGGUUGCUGCUACAGAUUUCGAAAUUGAAAAUGGUGUGGUAAUAAGAAUGAAAUUAGAUACAAAUGAUGUAGUAAGCAGCAUAUGGAUCACUAGAUAAGAUGAAAGAACAGCUUCGUUCCUAAGCUGAUUCAUGGACUGAAACAUAAAGCAGCUGCAUAUAGUAUGUAAAAGAAAUUGAUCAUGCAUGAUCAUUGAUCUUGGAGUUGUAUAAAAGACAAUCCAAUAUAGUCCAUAUAUUUGAAAUUCCUUGUGAUUAUACUAAACUUAAAAUAGGUUAGUAGGCAUAGAAUAAAUCUAUGUGGGUGUCCGACCAUAAGCGUCCGGCCCCGGCCCUUCAAACUAAAGAUGUCUGACUCUGUCCGUCUAAGGGCGUCUGGCUCUUCAGCAAAGAACGUCUGGCUCUUCUACUAGACGCGUCCGACUUUUAAGACUAAAAGGCGUCUGGCCCUUCUUCUUGAUCACAGGCUCGUAGAGACAAAAGAUCACCCGGAUACAUAUGUAUUGUAGUCCAUAAGCUAGUGAGAGCCGAGAUCUAUGACCUAAUAAUAUAUAUUUCAGUGUGUGAUAUAAUCCACAACAACAGAGGUCAUGAGACACCAUCAAGAGAUGGAUAAAGGACUACAAUGUCCGAGAUAGUUAUGGUACUGCUUAAGGCAAGAAAGAUCGAUGUCCACAUGUGAGAUACAUGAGAGUGUUCGGCCACAGAGCCAUAAUAAGAGAUUAUAAACUCACAGCAAUGAUCAUUGAUCUUGAACACUCAUGAGACAAGUAGUGGACAUGUAUAGAAGAGGUCUAUGACCCAGACAUGGAUCGGCCAGAUCGAGACACAAGUUCAUGAUAACCACGUCUAGUACACUGUCCAUAAGUACUUGGUUUAUCCGACCAUAGUAAAGAGUUAAGAGUAGACGAUCACGUCUAGACUAUGGACACAUGCAAACACGAUUUGCAAAGACCCAAUAGUGAUCUCUGAGAACAAUAUGGUUCACAUUGUUUAGCACACAUGCUUUACCGGGACACUCAAUGUCAAGAGACAUGAGAAACGACCUAAGAGGUCAAAGUGGUCUAGAUACGGCUUAGUAAUGAACUUGGCCGAUUACUCCCUUCCUACAUAUACAUGAAAGAUCACGCACCAGAUGCGUAGAAUGUAGAAACCUACACUGAGGUUCACAUCAUGGGGAGUAGUGCGUGUUGUACUCUUUUUCCUUCAUCAUGGUUUUGUCCCACUGGGUUUUCCUGAUAAGGUUUUAAUGAGGCAACAUGAAGCGUACUACAAAUCCUGUAUGGUUAUGGCAUCCAAGGGGGGGUGUUAUAAAUCAUGGAGUGGAUUGCCAUUAACCAGGCCCAGACCGAGACCGGUCCAAUACCUAGAAGAUGGAGAGAUGACCGAAGCCUAGAGAGAGGAGAGAGAGAGAGCCGACUUCAGGAGAGAGAAAGACGGCCACAAAGCUUGGAGAAAAGGAAACCCUUUCCUUUUCCUAGUAGAUGUAAUCUUUCCAUUAUUAUGUAUUAGUAGUUUUCCUAAUCCUAAUGAAUUUAGGUUUUAGAUACUUUCCAUUUAUCUUCAUCUUGGAACCCCUUUAUCAUUAAUAAUAACACAGAAAUAUUCAGUCUUUAAAACUCUCUAAUUACAACAAUUAGAUGUUUCCUUUUCACUUUUAUUUUUCAAGGUUUUUACAACGUACUUACGCUAUUGCUGAAAGGAUCGAGAAUAUGAACAAGAGACUUUGCUACGCAUUUAUCCCUACAUGGAAAUUCAGUAAGAUGCUAUAUAUAGGAGAGAUACAUCUUUCUUGAUAAUAAGUUUAUUUCUUCAAAUUAUCAUAACGUAUGGGCUUGCUCUCCCGCCUUCAUUGAUUUCUGAUAAAAUUUAUACUAUUUAAUAGCAAAAUAGAUAGUUGAACAAUAUUGAUUAAUUACGUAAAUUCCUAAAUUGUAUGCUUCCCUCAAAUGUUGUGACUAGUAUGAUAGGAACAGACAACUGAUAAGAUGAAUGGUUCGUUUUAAAAUAUGAGUAAUAGAGUCGAAAAGACGUUGACAAAUACCAAAAUAUUGGUAACACUGGUGAACCACUUGCUUUAAAUUAAGGAGAGUUAUUGUAAUUUGAGAAUUUUGAAAGUGAUGAGGUUAAUAAAGUAAUCAAAAAGGUAGUUGGAGCGUUGGCUUUUGUAGAGUAAUAUAACUUUCGUGACAUUCAACGGCGGGCUACUUUGGAAGACUACGUUCCAAUUUCCAUGACCUUCAGUUAGCUAAUUAGUAAUUACAUUACACAUCAUAACCUGUUAACGUACAUUUAGUUUUAUAGCAAUAGCAUAUACAAAUAUAUUCAAUAUUUUCCACCAAGAGUGUUGGCUGAUGUAGACACAAAACUAUUCUAAAAGAACCAAACAAGAUAAACUCAUAAUAAUCAGUGAUAAUGAUAAAUAUGACUCAUUAGAAAGAAAUAUUCAUUCUGUUCCAUGAAAAUGUUUUUUUUUUAGAAUAUGACUAGGAUAGCACUAAAAAAGUUUUUGUCACAAAUAUAGCCUUUAAGAAUAAAAAUAACCAAAAUAGCACUUAAUGUUUUAUCAAAAAAGAUAAAUAUACACUUAUACCCCAAUGGUAAAUUAAUUUAGACAUUAGGGUUUAGAGUUAAUGGGUGGGGUUUAGGAUUUAGGGUUUAGGGUUUAGAGUUUAGGAUUUAGGGUUUAGAGUUUAGGGGUGGGGUUUAAGGUUUAGGGUUUAGAGUUAUGGGGUGGGGUUUAGGAUUUAGGGUUUAGGGUUUAGGGUUUAGAGUUUAGGUUUUAGGGUUUAGAGUUGGGGAGUUGGGUUUUGGGAUAAGAUUUCAAAUUUUAAAAAAUAAAAAAAAAAUAAAUUUUUCAAAAGAUAAAAUGCUAUUUUGGUCAUUUUAGUUUUUGAAGGCUAUUUUUGUGACAUAAACUUAAAAAU